UUGGAGAUCCAGCAAGACCUGGACAGAAGUGGCACAUCUACUACGCCACCGAGUACCCAGAGCAACCAGUGGUUAACCUUGAGAUGUGCAUGACUGGUCUGGACAAGAAGAAAGCUUCAGUCUUUUUCAAGACUAAUGCUGAUGGUAACACAACAUGUGCCAAGGAAAUGACGAAGCUCUCUGGUAUAUCUGAAAUUAUCCCUGAGAUGGAGAUCUGUGAUUUUGACUUUGAACCCUGUGGCUACUCCAUGAAUGCGAUCCAUGGCUCUGCAUUCUCAACAAUCCAUGUGACGCCUGAGGAUGGUUUCAGCUACGCCAGUUAUGAGGUUAUGGGCUUUGAUGCCACUGCUCUGUCUUAUGGUGACCUCGUCAAGAGGGUCCUUAGGUGCUUUGGCCCCUUGGAAUUUUCUGUUGCUGUGACCAUCUUCGGCGGGCGUGGCCAAGCUGGGACGUGGGGAAAGCAACUUGGUGCAGAGGUUUAUGACUGUAACAACAUGGUGGAGCAGGAGCUGCCUGGUGGCGGACUCCUCAUCUACCAGAGCUUCUGUGCUGCUGAAGACGCUGUUGCUACCUCGCCCAAAUCUGUUCUUCACUGCUUCGAAGGUGUGAACAUGGAGAAUGCUCCUCCUGUGAAGGACCGCAAACUGGCUAAUCUUCUCUGCUGGGAGGAAGUGGAUGCCAUGGAGAAGGAUGGAGUGCUUGAUGAGUAAGAUGGGCUUCUGGUGUCGAUUUGCUUCUGAGUUGUUUUUUUUAUCUUUGCAAUUUCGUUGUCGUCGUUUGGUUAUUCUGUGAAGCAGCCAAGCCAGGCUAUUAGAGUAUGAAAAAUGUCGUCUGUAAGCAUGUUUUCCUAUGUUGCCACAUGCUGAAUCAAUUUGAAUAAGUAUUAAUACAGCUCUAGGUGGUCAGCUGCGUCUACCACAAUGAGCAUAUAUGUAUGGAGAAAUGUCUGUCCAAGCAUUUUAUUUAAGAAUAAUAAUUUUUUUUCGAGUUAAAGUGAUAUGUGAUUUGUUUCUUAGUCUUUAAUUUCUGUGUUACACUAUCGAUCAUAUUUCUUUCCAGGUCAUAAUUAAUCUACUCAUUUCUGGACGACACUGCAAAAAUAGGUGGACGAACAUGUUUCAAGCGAUUUCAAUCUGUUGCUAUCGUCACAUUAUUCUAUUUUAGGCAAGAUUCGUCUCAUAAAUUACAGAUAAAUUUUAUAAUUAGCUAUUAUUAUAUAUAUAUUUAAUAUUUAAUAUUCUAUAAAUACGUUUAAAAAUUAACAGCAAAUCUUCAAAAUUUUGAAAUUUUUUAGAACUGAACAAGGCCUCCGUAUGGAUGCGGUAGGCAAUAAGUUUCCAUCGUCUAGAGCCGAACAGGUCGACCAUCGACGGCAGCUCUUGCUAGGCUGGAGUCAGUGGGUGACUGGUUCCUCGUCAGUUGUCAUCAUCCAACGAGAAGCAUCUCAUUCUGUUCCGUUUAUGCUGGUAAAGUAGAUGGAGACCGUAGGCUGCUGCUUCUCGCUGCUUCGCCGAGCCAGCCAGCGAGGGUUCCGUUCAGAUCGUGAUUUCUUCGUCAAUAGAGUUUUGUUUGCGCCAUUUCUUGGAAAAUACCCACAUGCCAGAUCCAUCCAACUAGAGGGGAGGAAUAUGCUGUCGUGGUAGCAGUUGCGUACCGCCCUCCUGCCUGCCAAUGCCGUCCAUAUCUUUGCUUCAAGCUAGAUGCGAUGAGAUAGCAGCAGCCGCAGGCCAAUGGCGUCCAUAUCUUUGCUUCCAGACCAGAUGCGAAGAGAUAGCAGGUUCCUUCCAAACGAAUCGGUUCCAUCCGCCUCUUUUGUUUGGCCGUCCAUAGCCCUGCGAAUUGAUGGGACGACCAAACCUGACGCUGCCUGAUAUCACCGAGGAACACGAAUCUAGCUACCCACCAUUCCCCGUAUUUCUUCGCCAAAUCUCUAGCUUUGCCCUUACUUUACCACGUUGGCCGCCAGCCAGCCACCCGUUUGCUAAAGCUGAGGGGAAUCUCGUCCCUGGAUGGCUGCAUUUGGAUCUCAGGGAAGCUAGAAACUUUUGCCUAGCAAGGUUGGGUAUAUGAAUCUGGCCACUAAGACUAUCUCCAACAAUCGUCAUCCAAAAUACAAGACUCAUUUGUCCUUUGGGUAGCGCUACAGGUAAAAGGUUCCAUACCUAUUUUUAGACUUCUCCAACAACAAGACCUAAAAGACAACACUCUCUGCAAAUGGGUCUCGAGGAGAGAGGAUAUCCAAAUUUGGGUUAUGCUUCCCCUGAUACCCAAAAUAGGUUUUCUGUAUGGGUACUCUGUUGGAGGCUAUAGGUAUUGUGUUGGAAACCUAUUUUGAGUUUGGGUUACCAAGUACAUAUGCUAUUGGAGACAGCCUAAAGUAAUCCCAACGGCGCGCGGCGUGUCCAUUCCAAAUCCUGAUCGGCGACGCCCCUGCUCGCGGUCCCGUGCACCACCCGGAACAGUGGCGGAGCCAGGAUUUUACGGCUGGGUAUUCCGAGCAUAUAAAAAUUUUUGAUGUAAAUGUGCAAUAGUAACAAGGCUUUGUUAAUUUAGUUCCACCCAAAAACUAAAAACAUUUUUAACAUUUUUAUCACAUUGAAUUUUGCAGCACAUGUAUGAAGUAUUAAAUAUAGAUAAAAAAUAACUAAUUACAUAAUUUAUCUAUAAUUUAUGAGAUAAUAAAUCUUUUAAGUCUAGUUAGUCUAUGAUUAGACAAUAAUUAUCAAAUACAAACGAAAACAUCGCCAAAACAAAAUUCGUGUAGAGAACUAAACAAGGCUUAAGCAACGUACAAGAUCUGAACAUAGUGUCAUAGUGCUAUUUUCUCUAAUAAUUUCGAUGCAAAUGUGCUAGUGUAUGUGCUCACCUUGCCUCAAGCAGCAAGCCGGAGGCCGGAACCGAAACCGUGGACAUCGCCGGCUGCCGGAGCGCCGGGCACGCCAGUCGUCACUGCCCACCGGUCGCCGAAGCCAGGACGCUAGGGUCGGGAGUUGGUGCGAUGUGGAGCGGUGCGAUGCGAUGUGAGUUGGGAGACUAGGGGGUUGUUUGGUUGAUAGCUACAAAUUGCCACACUUUACCUUAGGCAAGUUUGACCAAAUUGGCAAGUGUUUGGUUGACAACUAAGCUUAGGCAUGAUUCUUUUGGACUCCACAUGUCAUAGAGUUUAAAAGUGUGGCAAGAUUUCUUUAGACAUGACAAAGUGUGGCAACCAAUUUGCUAGUCACACUUUUUAUGGCUUGCCACACUUACCUAAAGUUAGUUGUGGUAGACUAUGGCUUGCAACCAAACAUCCCCUAAGAGCGGCAGCCAGGAAACGUUGUCAUUUUUUUUUUCUUUACUUUGUUGAUUGAGCUGAAAAUCACUGCUUUCUGUUGAGCCUUCGGCCAGAUUUACAUCAUAUAGCAACUAUAUACGUUAUACUUAUACGUAUACAUAUAUGCAUUUGUGUUAAUUUCCAAAAUCUUAGGGGGGAAUACCCCUGGCGCCGCCCAUGACCCGGAAGGUCCGAAGGCUCAACUGCUCAAGACAUCGCGGCGUGCCGACCUCUCGGCCCGACACCGCGAAAGAUGAGAGAGCACGGGCACGGCUCGUGUUCGUGUCGCAUCUCCUCUGUCCGCUACCUUGUUUAUGCCCGUCUCCAAUACUAUAUAUAUAUAUCUAGCUUUUGCUAUGAACAAAAAAAAAAGUGAAUGAACUAGCUUUUGCUAUGAGCAAAAAAAUGAAAAAGAAAAAAUAAUAGUUCACGAUCAAAGGUAUUUAGCUGGAAGAUAUAGUAUGUUAUGACACAGAUUUUAAUUGAACUUCUCAAUUAGAACUGAAUUCCAAUCCACUACCACAUUUAGAGUAGCUUGAGCCAGCCCUGAGUAAAGAUGGAAACGAUUUUUACCCUAUUAAGGCAAGAGUAUGUGGUAAUUUGUCUAUUCGUGGCUCGUGGGUUUGCUAAUGGACAAAAAGCCAAACUUAGUGGAUUUGUAGGCAUAGGAUGCAUUUGUGGGUAUAGGUUUGAGGUGUAUUGGCAAACUCGCAAAACCAUGAACAAUCGGCAAUACUCUAGUUUUUCUUUAACUAGUCUGAUCGGUUUAGUGAUAUAUAUAUAAUUGAUCUUUCCAACCUAAACCUUCCCCCUUAGCCUACCCGGCCACACUAUGGCAGCGGUGGUGUGCAUUCACGCUCGAGCUUGCGCAUCACCCCGUAUUGAGAGGUUGAAUCCUGAUUGGUUGAUAUACGUAUAUAUCACUAAUAUAUGAAACUAUGGUAGCUGACUAUUGUAUUGCUCAGUGAAAUAUGAUUUCUCAUUUACAUUAUUUUUAGUUGCAUUAUGCAAUAUAUAUACAUAAGUAUAUGAUAAUCGUGAAUAUGUGUUGUACUAUUAUCUGCUGAUCGGUGGUCAUAUUGUGCCUGCUGUUGUGGGCACGAGUCUAGAUACAUAAUUAUAUACUCGUGAUGUUUUUUUUUUUUGAGACUACUCGUGAUGUGUCGUGGGCCUUCGCAUGUGUAAUGUAGCCCUGAGCCCAGGCUGCUCCGAGCUCCGAGUACUGCAGAUAGGGUACGCAAAAGAUAUCUCUAGUGUACUGUGUGAAGGGCCCAUAGAUCGUGGGCUGACCUUUGUGCAUUGCCCGGUUGCCGCCGGCGCCUCAUGUGCCCUCUCUGCUCUCUGUCCCAAGACAUGGUGGUACCGUGGACCGUGGUAGCUUGGUCCAUUUCCUUGCCGAUUGUGGUUGUUUCAUCUCGUAAAUCUGUGCGCAUUCAUUCUACCAAUAGGUUUCUAUAAAAUAAGAAUAUAUAUAUAGCACAAAAAUAAAAGACUGAAUGCGUUCAAUCUAACAUGGAUCUCACAUCUUUUCACUUUACAUCCUCUGGAACGCCAUGAUGAUAUAGAACGUUGUUGCACCUGUAUGUAGAUGUACAAACAUAAGAAUUGAAUCAUACAAGGGCCAAAGAUCCAAAUUCUAAAAAGUUCUAAAAAGUGCACACCAAUUUAAGUUUUGAAGCCCUAGCCUUCCUUCACAUGUAACUUGAUCAACACUACCAUAGUACUUUCUAAGUAUCUGUACUUGGAGUAGGGCAGCUGGAUGACAGGAUGUAUGAUAGCUUUUCCUGGUUUUAUAUCUAGAUUUAUUACAAAACAAAACUACUUGACAUGAGCUUACAAUUGAUUUAGUGAUAAAAGCUAUAGAAGUAAAUUUACAAUUGAUUUAGUGAUAAAAGCUAUAAAAGUAUAUUUACGCUUUCUUCAAAUGAAUGUCCCAUCGAGCGCAGACUUGAAUUUUAGAAACAUGACCACAUGAAUGUCAUUGCUCCUUCAAAUAAUUUGCCUCUGCACGCAACCUGCAGCACAGUUUUAGCUUCACAUCAAAUACCUCCGCUCACAGUCUGAUGUGGAACAGCUUUGCAAGAUGUAUUUUUUUUCUCACCUGGAUCGUCGAUGACAAGCGUGACAGCAUCCCAACGUGGUUCAAAUUUGCAGAAAACAUGUCCUUAUUCACCACUUUGAUCCUGUCAAUGUACCAAAUGUCACCUCAGUCAUAUACACUUAUCACUAUUCACCAAUGUCCUUAUUCACCACUUUGAUUCUAUAGCAGGUUUUGUAGUUCAGGAAAACAGAUCUUGUGUGUAAAAUUGUAUUCCGCCAAAGAAUAGAAGCUCUUGAGCAGGUUGCAAUAUCACAGUUUCCUUUUUCAGUAGAAAUAAAUUGGCUAAUAUAGAAAACCUUGCAAUGAUUAGGGUGCAGAUUUAUUACCAGACAAGCACCAAAGUAACUUGAGUUCUCAGUCAGGAGUAUACCAAGUUACACAGAUUUAUUGCCUAGCCUAGCAUUACAAUACCAAGUUACAUAGAGAACUUGAACUAAAAAAAUGAUCCAAGAAAGGAAAUGUGAAGAACUCACCGAGACAGUAGGAAGCUUGUUUCCAGCAAUCCCAGACCUAGAGAGUAUCAAUCGAACAACUGGAUUCCAUACCGAGCAUCAUAUUAUGAAAUCAGACUCUAAAUGUAUUUCUAAGCAUUCAUAUUUUUAAUCUAAGGCAACACCAUAAAGAAAAAAAGUUAAAAGUAGGAACAAUACACAAAUCUCACAAUGGGGUAUCCCCACCUGACAUGAACAGGAAACCUUGGACCCUUCUCUCAUAUUCCAUUAAAUUGCAGUGCAAACAACACAUUAGAUGUCCAUACAUAAACAAACCGAAUAAGCACCCACCAUUGGCCCCUGUUUCAAGCAUGGAAAAUUUGAAGUCUGUAAGAACUCUGCUCACUUAUGUGAAAUUCAUAAUCUGCAAGAAAAUCUGAAUGUAUGAGAGCAUGCAGCCAGGUAUCAUCUGGUUCAAGCCACAGAGAUACUAUGACGACACAGUUAGCACUAAAUCUUGUUCUUCUAUACUCAAUUUCCUCUUGACUCUAGUUUGGCAUGCACAAUGAGCAAACUAACCACGUCAAGAUUCAGAUGUACAGAGGGACAGAAACACGAUUAGCUUAUUUGUAAAUAAAUAAGCAAAAUAGUACAGGUACAGAUACAAAUUGUUAGUCCAAUGUGAUAUUUGAGUAGUGUAUUAUAUUAACUCAAAAUGUAAAAUCGACUUUCCAAACUGUGUAAUUAUUUUGCAAAAAAUCAGAUUGCAGUUAUCUAUCUAGACGUAAAUCUCGAAUGAACAAGGUCAAGGAUGGUGCGGACUACAGUUGCCUUGUGACUCCAAUCCCAGAUACUGAGAACAAGAACUGGAUUUAGACACAUUCAGAUUCGUGUUAGGGAGAGGAAGCAUCAUGAGUGAAGAAAUAAACCUCACAAUCCAUCACCGGAUCUGCUCGACAGAAAGAAAUUAGGAUCUGCACAACAGAGAGAAAUUAGUCGCCACUCCACCACACCGAAAAAGUCAUUGAAGUUCCAUGGGAAUAGGAAAAACCAAACGAACUGCCCUGCCAAAAUCGCCAAGAAUCUAAAAAUCCUUUGGAAUCACAGGGAGUGGCUAGUCGAGCUAGGGUUUGGGUUGAGGGGGAACGCGGCUACCUGCUUGGGUUCGCUUUCAAAAUCUUCUAGAAGGGUGAGGCGGGCGCUGUGGCUGGCCAUGCCGCCAUCAAGCUGGCCGAGCCGCGAGCCACCGGGCGAUCGCGGACAACAGCUUGCCAUGUCGGCUACCCGCCUGGCCGCCGCCGCUUCGGCUGGCCACAAUGCUUGGCCUCCAUCGCGCAGUCCUGCACCUUCACGUGGUGGCCAGCCCCGCGCUCCCCCUGUGCCACCAGCGGUGGCGGCUCCCUGUUGUUGGGCGUUGGGGAGAGGAGUCGGUGCCACAAUCGCUCGAGUGAAAAGGAACGGGAAGAAAAAAAAGACAACGCGAGGGAUCGAACCGUGGCCUGGUUGUUGCGAUCAAGAGAGCCGCGCGAGCGUGGGCAUGAGUGAGAUGACGCGAGGGUGAGAGUGUGUAAGGUCGUGAUCAUACUUCUAAUCUGGGUCGUCUAAUCUGUAGGACAUGUGUUGUGAGUCGUUGAUCUUACAUGUAGGAUUUGCCUGGAGAAGAUUUCAAUUAUAGUAGAGAUAUACUCGUGAUGUUUUUUUUUUUUGAGACUACUCGUGAUGUGUCGUGGGCCUUCGCAUGUGUAAUGUAGCCCUGAGCCCAGGCUGCUCCGAGCUCCGAGUACUGCAGAUAGGGUACGCAAAAGAUAUCUCUAGUGUACUGUGUGAAGGGCCCAUAGAUCGUGGGCUGACCUUUGUGCAUUGCCCGGUUGCCGCCGGCGCCUCAUGUGCCCUCUCUGCUCUCUGUCCCAAGACAUGGUGGUACCGUGGACCGUGGUAGCUUGGUCCAUUUCCUUGCCGAUUGUGGUUGUUUCAUCUCGUAAAUCUGUGCGCAUUCAUUCUACCAAUACUAGUACGAGCAUACGACCGCUACGCUGUAAUCCUUCUACCCGGACAGAAACUGAAUGCCGUCCUGCGAGAUUGGGGUGACUGCCGUAUCUGCCGUCGAAAGAAGAUCCAAGGGCUACAAACAUUUUUACCAUGGGGGACCAAGCCUUUUCCGUUGCCCACAUGUUCGUUGUCUCUCCUUUGCAUUCACGCUUCAGUAAUGGCCGUUGUACUGCCAGCUAAGUGAACCGCGUAAUCACGUUUUCUCUUCGCUUGCUAGUGACGCCAUGCAAGCAAAUUUAUCAGGUCCAGUACUGUGUCCAUCGCCAUACGUAAAACUGCGUUGCAGAUCAGACACGUCAUCUACACAAUUUUCUGCAUUUUCUUUUCGCUCCUUUUUUUUCACUAAAAAAAAACGGUGACGCCACCUACACAAGAACACCUCACUAGCUCACCGAAGCAUCACCGGGCCAUCAACAGCAAACUAGCCAGCACCAGCUACAUCAACAAAAGGAAUAUAACCAAUCUCAUCCUCCUCACUCACCUCACUUUUCCUUGCUCUACAACAUAUAAGUUUCUGCACCGUCGGAUUCGUCAGCCAUUGACGCUGGAGCAGGUCCGCCGGAUCUCGCCGUCGGCGCCGGUCUUCACGCCGAGGCCGGUGAGCCUGGCGUACGAGCUGGCCCAGCUCGCGAAGAAGCCGUCCUGGCUCUGCGCGAACUCCGCCACCUUGGCCUUCGUCGUGGCGUUCUGCACCAGCACGGCGUCCGUGCGCAGCAGGCCCCGCCCGUCCAGCAGGUUCGCGAAGUAGCGGUUGUCGAACACGGACGCCGACCCGGAGUCGCAGUCCACGGCCGUGGCCGCCGACGCGGCGCCGUUCGCCGCCGCGCACGCCUGGAUCAGCUCGUUCGCGUAGUCGGCGUUCAUCGACCCGUCGAUGGGCGUCAUGCUCCCGUUCGCCACCUGGAACCGCUCCCGGAACGUGUUGCAGUGCGCCGACCCGAUGGUGUGGCCGCCUGCACAGCACAGCACAGCGCAGCACAGCACAGCACGCGCGCAAGACGACGUCGGUGAGAUGCGUCCAGUUUCGCAUUACCAAAAAAAAAAAAAAAAGGAGGGGGCCAAAGUUUUUCGUCUGCACGCCUGAGAGGGUGACGAGGUCGUCCAGGGUGAGCCCCUUGGCGGUGAAGCUGGCCGCCAUGGCGUCGACGGAGAAACCCGUGUCGAUGAUGUUUCUUCGGACAUUGGAUGCCAAUGAGACGAGGCCGUCUCGUCUUCCCAGGGCCACAGGCACCGCCGGUCCUCCGGUCUUGUUUUGGAACAAAAGUUCGUACACAAGAAUCUCAGUUAGUGGAUUGUUAAAUGGACAUACUGCGGCUUUGCCCCAAACAUAAGAUGGCAGACAUGAGACAUCAUGGAAACAGAAUUAUGUUGAUUUUGGGACCUGUAUCACAGAGUAGUAUUUGGACUAACCUAGGAGUAGUAUGCAAGCUGUAUCUUCUUGCAGAUGUUUGGUCACAGCAUACUUAUCAUACAGUAUACGGGACCAGAAACUAUCAAUUCAUUGAUUGCGUAGAGAUCUAAUCCCUUCAACAUUUAUUAACGAGAGAUUCUGUGUUGGCCCAUGUUCAGGUAAGUAGUUAAGGGCACUCACAAUGCAAGACUCUAUCAUAGAGUCCAAGACAAUUAGUUACAUAUUAUUUAUGGUAUUUUGCUGAUGUGGCAGCAUAUUUAUUGAAGAAAGAGGUAGAAAAAAUAAGACUCCAAGUCUUAUUUAGACUCUAAAUCCUCAUUAUUCGAGGUAAUAAAUAACUUUAGACUCCAUAAUAGAGUCUGCAUUGUGAGUGCUCUAAGACUGGCACUACGUAUUGUUUCUACGAGAUGUUUAAAGUUAAGCACCAAGGUAACUAUUGGAGCAUUCACAGUUUGGGUGAAUUUUGGCAAAGCUAAGGCAAAACUGCAGCAACUGUACAUUGAAGAGGUUUGAGCUGAUUGGACUGUCAUACUUACAAACACAACAGCAUCCCUUGCAGCGAGGACGACAAUGUCACUGCAAGAAACAGUCGCAGGGCACACGACUUCUAGCAACCUCUUUGCUGCAUCGAUGACAUUGAACCCACCAAGUGAGAGAUUUGCAGGAUCGGUCCUCUCAGUACCGUUACCUUGUAUCAACACCGAUGCAUCGCAUCCCUAAGAUCAAGAAAACAAACACUCAUUAACCUGAAUCGUAUUAUGUCAGUGUGGACGCUGAAGUUUCAUAAAGAGUGUGCAGGGGUGCAAUAUGAUAAGCUGCUGCCUUCAGUCACACACAUGCAAAGCUUUCAAAGACUACACUGAUGUUUGGUACCCAGUAUUCAACUAGGCAUUAAUGAUGUUUGAAGAGAUCUUGGUCUGACUAAACUGUUUGUGUUUGGUUACCAGUCUACCAGAUAGGCUACCAUUCUCGCACUUUUGAGUAUGUUGGCACAUCCAAAACUAAUCCAUGCACGUGAUUAGGAAUUUAGGAUCAAGACAAAUGGAAGCAGGAUAGAUAAAUGCAAAGAUUUGAGCAGUGGCGUUAUCAGAGGAUGCAAUUCAAAACAGUUUUCUUGGUCUUGUUCCAGGUAACUGGUAAAGUGGUAACGGUUAACUUGCUGCUACAAUUUGUACUUGUUCAUUUCUUUGGGUCUGCACAACUAUUGCAUAUUUUCUGCUCAGCACUCUGAACAACGGGGGUAAAAAAUCGUUGAGCAAAGCAACAUGAGAUAGGAAUUGCACCUGGCAGCCCCUGAAUGUAAACUAGAUCCUUUCUUUUUGCAUGCAAAAAAGCUAAUCACGAAAAUAUCUCUGCAUGAUCAUCUAGAUCAGGCACAUCCAUUUCACUAAUUGUUGGGGAGCACAACAAAAAAAAAGUCCUCAGUCUGCAACGAUGGAGUGUUUAUUUAACAACCAAAUGCAAGGAUUCAGACAGUGCAUUCCAUACCUCGACGAAGCAGUCAUGGAAGACCAGCCUAAGAAGCUUGCCGGGAAUGGAGGGGUCCAGGGUGGAUGCCGACCUAACGACAUCCCUCACCGCCAGCUCAACGCCCGGGCAGGACUGCGCGUAGAAGCUGGGCGAGAGCUGGCCCAGUGUGGAGGACAUCGUCGGCGUGGACUUCGACGGAGGCUGCGGGGGAGCAGGUGGUGGCGGUGAAGCCGCCGGUGUUGGAGACUGUCUCGGAGCCAAGGGCGGGGACGGCUUCGGAGCCGUCCGAGGAGGAGCUGGUGGUGCCGGUGUGGCAGGUGGAGGAGACGAUGGCCUUGGCGCCGGCGCGACAGAUGGGGAUGGUUUAGGAGCCGGCGCCAUUGCAGGUCGAGAGGGUGGCCUUGGAGCUGGCGAGGCUCCAGGUGGAGGUGACGCUCUUGGCACCGGUGGUGUCGCCACUGGCGGAGGAGACCUCGUUGGAGCCGGCCUCGGAGACGGUGUCGGUGACGACUUCCCAGCUGGCGCCGCGGGUGGCGGUGACGACGGUUUCGCGGCCGGGGUUGGCGGCCGCGACAGCCUCGGAGCUGGCGCCGCAGGCGACGGGAACGAAGGCCUCGCGGCGGCCGGCGCCGUCGGGGGCCGCGACGCGCUCUGAGCCGGCGACAGAACCGUGGACGGCGACUGCGAGGCGGCGAGCGCCAGCAGCGCCGACAAGACCAGCAUUGAGCAAACGACGGCGCCGCCCAUCUUGCAGCCGAGCCGAGGACAAGGAGAGCUAGCGAGCGAGCGCGUCUUUCCUAGAGCGACGAGAAGCUCACGGGCACGUGACUGUGCGUCUGUGUGAGAGAUAGCGACGGGGGCUGCGACGCGGUGUCGGGAGAAAAUCUAUCGCCUCAGCUGGUGCUGGUCUAGCUCUGGCAUUAAGGCCUGGUUUAGUUGGUGAAAAAUUUUGGAUUUCGCUACUGUAGCACUUUCGUUUGUUUGUGGCAAAUAUUGUCUAAUAAUAGACUAACUAGGGUCAAAAGAUUCGUCUCGCGAUUUACAGGCAAACUGUGUAAUUAGUUUUUAUUUUUGUCUAUAUUUAAUACUUCAUGCAUGUGCCGCAAGAUUCGAUGUGACGGGAAAUCUUGAAAAAUUUUGGUAACUAAACAAGGCCUAAGGGCGCGGGCGCGCGGCACGCCGCCACGAGCCACCACGAGGGGCAGCGGCACAAGCUGCUGCGGCGGUAGCACUGCCAGUGUUGUCAAGACGGCCCCCUGGCAGGCCUACGCGGCUACGCUGCUCGUCGCGUCGUCCACCACGGCCACCACCGCCCCGCCGACCUUUUCUCCCCCUCCGCCAACUAACAGCGACGUAGGAAGUAAAUACCGCCAUUAAUGGCGCACCUAGCUAGAGCCCCCUCCGGGCGAUGGAGAUGGAGCCCAGCCAGGCGCCGGCCCGCUCGCUCGGAUCGCCAUCGCCAUCAAUAAAUGAAUGAACACUACCUCCACAUCAUGCUCACCCGCGGCCCGCGGCUGCGCUGCCCUGCGCCGGAGGAAGCUGAUCGGGGAGGAAAUCCGAGACGCCGUGGUAAAAGCAUCGGGGCCCAGCCGGGUGACGCGUGAGAGCAGUUAUUACACACCAGCGAGAGAGGGGUAGAGAGGGAGGGAGUUGCACGGCAGCACGGCAUCGGCGACAGCUCUAGGAGCGCAAGCGGAGGGGAGCAAGGCAAGCACGCUGCUUGGACUCGCGGCGGUACCAGUACCAGAAUGGCAGUACUGUGCGACGGCCUGCGCGCGCAUCACGAAUUCACGAUUCACGGACGCUGUGCUUGUGUCUGCUGGGUACGUUUCGCGUUGGUUGCGCGGACGACGUACAGCACAGAUCGCGCGAGCUAGCGACGUGCGUGCCCACUUGGCCCAGUGGCAGAUAGAACAAGAUCCGCUCCUCGUUUCAGGGCAUGGGCCGAAACGAUUACCCUUGGGCUUGUUUAGUUUCCAAAAUUUUUCAAGAUUCCCAGUCACAUCGAAUCUUGCGGCACAUGCAUGAAGCAUUAAAUAUAGACGAAAACAAAAAAUAAUUACACAAGUUUAGCUGUAAAUCGCGAGACGAAUCUUUUAACUCUAGUUAGUCUAUGAUUUGAUAAUAUUUGCCACAAACAAACGAAAGUGCUACAGUAGCGAAAUUCAAAAAAAUUUCGCGAACUGAACCAGGCCUUACCCCCAAAACACGAGAGGGGCGACAAGCAGAGACGGAAGCAGUGGCGGUGGCUACAGCUCCGCAGAUGGCAGCAUGCCAGCAUGGCGGCAACUGCGUCUACACCUUAGUCCCUGUCGUAUUGUAGACUAAUUAUAAAACUAAUUCAUAAGCCAUAACUAAUUCAUAAGACAAAUUUAUUAAACUUAAUCAGUUUAUGAUUAGUGAAUGUGAUACUAAGUAAACAUAUACUAAUCAUAAAUUAAUUAGGCUUACUAAAUUCGUCUCACAAAUUAGCCAUGGCUUAUACAACUAGUUUUAUAAUUACCUAAUGUUUAUUGCUCCUAAUUGACAUCCAAAAAUUCGAUGCGAUAGGGACUAUAGAUCCAAACACCUCUGAAAUGAGAAUGGCACAACUACAUGAAAGACUUUUAUACUACCUCACCAAAAAAAGAAAUGCAAUUGUGGUCUCAUACCAAUCAACCUACCAAGAUAAUAUUAAAUUGUAUUAACAUUUAUGUUUUUAAAUAAAUUUAUUUUCAAACUUUGUUCUAUAACUAAUCUAAUAAUACUUAUUUUGUAAUAUAAACAUUUAUAAUUUUUAUAUAAAUAUAGCCAAAAGUUGAACUGUUUCACUCCUCGAAAAACAAAAAAUAUAUUCUUUUGUGAACGGAGGGAGUACAAACUAAAUAAGUUGUCAUAGGGUUUGAAGGUAUCCCAAGUAUGAGUGUCGUGGGAGUAUAGGGUUUUUCCUUUUUAUUUCUUCAAAAUCAAUUUAAUUUCUAAAAGAACUAAAAUCAUAUGUUGGGACAUUGUGAGAAAAAAAAGUAAUCCUAACAUUAAAACUUACUCACAUGAAUCAUCUAUUGCAGUAUCUGAAAACAUCCUAAAAGUCUCAUGCAACAUGGAGAAACAAUAAAUAUCAUAGUGUCUCCAGCCAUGUAGCUUGGAUGUACAACAACCAAGGAAUGAGUUUGAGGCGCCAGCUUGGAUGUACAACACCGUGAUGGGUUCAAACUUUGUUCAAAUCUGUCAGCCAUUCAGCAGUGUUUUUCUCUUAAAACAAUUCAAUGAACAAUGCUUUCAAUCAUAUCUUUUCAUAUAAGGGAACAUGCUCCUGACAGCUCUAGCUACAAGCUGCAAGCAGCAAGUGGCAAGCCCUAGCCCAUCACUGAAGGGAGAAGGGAGUAGCUCUUUGCCAGAGGAAAAGCCAUGUCGUCACUCAAAGCUGUGCUACACCACCCUGGGCUCAAGCACUACUCGAUCAUAAGGGGUUGAUGUGCCAUGAGAGCUCAAGCCCAUGACAACAUCGGGCUAGUUUAGAGCGUAUUUAGUUUGGAGAGUGAUCCCAUCAGAAUUUUUUUUUGGCAGACCUAGUUACAGACACAGACGCUCAUAUACACAAGGACAUACUCAUCACUAUGAACACACGAAUGCAGCAUAAGGUCAUCCACCAAUCUCGCAAGUCGCAAGGAAUGAUUCAAUUUGAUGAUUUAGCUCUCUUGUGGAAUGACUCGGUGACAGAUAAAUCAGAUCCAUGAUAUAAACCUAAACUUAGUUAGACUCGAAUACAGGAUCAGAUAUCACAAUGCAAACCAAAUACAUUAUUUGUCACCACAAUGCCCAUUCAUCCCUAACCAUACUGGGCAUGUGGCCACCGGCGGGGCUCCUUGCUCCAAACAGUAGCAAGCGGCGGUUGGGCGGCUCUUAGCCUCGGUCAGUGCCAAAUUCAGAAGCCUUUUUUUGUUCAUGAUCAGAAAAUUCCUUGGUACAAUCUUUUUAGUAGCUGUUUUGUUCGCUGUCACAACAAUGCCAUAUCACACUUUCUUAGCACGCCAUCUGAUAUGUCGUAGAUUUGUUUGAUGCCAAACUUGGCCACAAGUGUGUGGCUUAAGUUUUGCUCGCUAAACUUUCUGUGACAGACAAUUUACCAAAGGUUUGAUGUGGCAAACUACGGCACCAACCAAGGAGAACCUGUUUGGUUUGUGACCACAAGUUGCCAUGGCGCAAGUUACACGUGCCACUGUUUCUAAGCUUAGCAUUCAUAAAUUCAUUUUCUUACCAAACUUUAUCAUAAAUUUGUUUUUUGUUUUUGCUCGCCACAUUUCCUGUGCCUGUGUCACAAUUUACCAAAAGUUAGUUAUGGCAAGUUUAAGCAUAAACCAAACAUGCCUUAGGGGGAAAGAGGCCAAAUAUCAAUAGGAAUGUCAUUACCUUUUAAUUACAUAAUAAAUUGUUAUAGUAGAUCAUUAAGGAUCAUAAUGAAAAGUAUUAGAGUUAGGGGCGAGCCCCCUCCAAGCUUCAAGCCCUGUCUUGUGUCUUCAUCACUGGCCGGGCUGUGCAGCGAGGGCGGAGCCUAGUGGAGGUGAAACUAGGCUCCGGCGCCCUUGUUGCAACUGAAAUUUAGAAGUCAGAACUCAGAACUCAGAACUCAAGGACUACUUCAUGCUCUUGACCUCACUAUCACGCUCUCACGCCCGGCCAGUGAUGAAGACGCUAGAGCGGCCGAUGGUCUGGCUGUGAGACGCUAGAGCGGCCGAUGGUCAACAACCUGGCUGGCCUGGGGUGCAUGCGUGAGAGCGUGAUAGUGAGGUCAAGAGCAUGAAGUAGUUGUGGCUUUUCAUCUUGUUGUUGUUCUGCAAGCUUUCCCACUCGUCUUGCUACAGGUAAUAGGGUGUUCUUCGAUCCUCAACGAAGAACAAGAAGGAACAACAAAGGUGAAUUUGUGCGCGUCAAAAAUGUAAUUAUGAAAAAUGUGUCUGUCAAACUAGUUCAAGACUGAGUUUAUACCAAAUAGUUUAAGCAUUUAUGUUUCGAAAUAAAUUAUAAAAAUAUGUUUUAUAACUAAUAUAAUGAUACUUAUUUUGUGUUAUGAGUGUUAGUAUAUUUUUAUAUAGUUUUAGUCAAAAUCAAAACUGUUUCACUCCUCUAAAUAUGAGAAUUACAUUCUUCUAUGUACGGGAGAGCAAAGGAAGACCGAGUGAUAGCUUGUCAUUUUGCCCAACCUAAAAUUUGUUUCACACUUUCACACUCCGCCGGUGCUGCGCAGGUGGUGGUCCGGCUAGCGCUGAGGCCCGAGGGGCGAGGGUAGUCGGCCAGCACAGCACAUCGGGCAGGGGCAGCGCACUGCUGCCGCCGGCACAGCAAAGGUGAAUUUGUGCGCUAAACUUCACUCAGACGGGCUGGUGAAUAAGCUUCGGUUAGGCCCAACUGGCGGCCUGGUGGAAUUGGGCAUCUGUUGGGCUGAGAAGGAAAAUGUUUAGGGUUCGUUUUCAAGCGAGCUAAAAUUCCUUUACGUCUUGUACUCCGGCCUCCGGGCUCCCGGUCCUCCCGCCGGCGGAAGUCAUCGGAGCGAGGACGCUGUCCUGGGGCAGCGCUCGAGAGGAAACCGGCCGUGGAGGAGCGAGCAACGAUUGUUUUGGGCCGUAGAGGUGAAGUGAUGAGCACGGCGAGCGUCAGCGACGACGGCGGUUGGGUAAGCGGCGGAAAGUCGGCCGACGGGUGGCGGGCGGAGGAGGCUGUCGCGGGCAACCGUAGGGCACUGGAGGCCCUUCGGGAGCUCGUGGCUUAUCCAUUCCUCUACGCCCGCGAGUCCCGGCUGCUCGGACUCAAGGUAAUGUGCUCCCGCCUCUUGCCCCCAUCAGACUUCGCCAUUGUCUGCUACACCUUCGGGUUAAUCAUUCAGCUUUGCUUUCUUCAGUGGCCCAGAGGAUUGCUGCUCCACGGCCCCCCUGGCACCGGAAAGGUACUGAGUUUUCAAUUCCUCGCCUUAACUCUCAGCUCUAUUUUCCAUCAUCUAAAAAGAACUCUAUCACAAAUCACCUUGAAGUGCUUGGAUUGUAAUUUUUUGGGUGGAGUUUGAUAUUUAUUUAACUUGUCAGUAUUGAAAUAUGGAAGACCUAAACAGUAUGGUGAUUGUUAUUUUUGACAGACAAGCCUGGUUCGAGCUAUUGUUCGAGAAUGCAACGCACACCUGAUAAUGAUCAAGUACUGAAUUUAUUUUGAACUGUUUCUGUUUAGUGCUGACAUGUACAAUUGUACACUGUAUUUUUUUUACACGAUUUGAAAUAUAUUGCUUCUGGCCACCUUGACAGUCCUUAUUCUGUACACAAAGCCCAUGUGGGAGAGGGAGAAAAGUUCCUGCGUGAAGCUUUUUCUGAAGCAUAUUCUCAGGCUUCGCGGGGUAAACCAGCUGUGAUAUUCAUCGACGAACUUGAUGCCAUAUGUCCACGGCGCAAUGCUAGGCAAGUUUUGCAUAUCUCUCUUCUUUGUGUCUUUAUAAAUGAGAUCUUAAUGUGCUUCCACAGGAGAGAGAAUGAGUCCCGCAUUGUUGGCCAACUUCUUACUCUGAUGGAUGGAAACAAGAAAUCGUCAAAGAUGCUUCCUCACAUAGUUGUUGUUGCAUCGACUAACAGGUCUGGGCAUGCCACACUUUUGAUUUUGAAAUACCAUUGUUGCUAUAACUCAAGGUUUGUUCCAUGUUUAAGAAUCCUGCUGGGACAUGAUUUACAAUCUAUACACAGAUACCAUGGAAUGCCAUUAUGUUGAAUUAAUUGCACACAUUUUACAAAGUUUUCUUAAAAUAGCCUUUUAAGCAUGGUGCUGGAUAUGGUCUUUCUCGUUGAACUGAAACACAGCUUGUUACCUCAUUAGGGUAGAUGCCAUUGAUCCAGCAUUGAGAAGAGCAGGACGUUUUGACUCAGAAGUAGAGGUUUCUGUUCCUACAGUUGAAGAGCGGCUGCAAAUUCUAAAGGUAGCAUUUGAUGUCAUUUUCAUAAAUCUGUUGGUAUACAGUGGUUUUCUUAUGAGUACUGUUACAAUUUAGGUAUCUGGCUUAGGAAAUUGCUGUUGACAAAUGACAAAUGUAAUUUUAUGUUUUUGUCCACAUCAUUGUAUAUGUAUUGAAUCUAAAAAGGUUUUAAGACAUCAGAUCAAAUUUUGUGUUUUGUGAAAUCUUGAAUUCAUGCUCUUGAUUUCUUUUACAUACACCUAAUGUCAUAGGUCUUUAUCUUCUUCAGCUUUAUGCCAAAAACCUACAUAUGGAUGAAAAGGUCGAUCUUCAAACCGUUGCUGCAUUCUGCAAUGGCUAUGUUGGAGCUGAUUUAGAAGCAUUAUGUCGAGAAGCUGCCAAGCUUGCAUAUCAUAGAAUGUUAAACAUAUCUGAGGGUGACAGAGUACUUAAACUACAUAUGGAGGACUGGGAGUCUGCUAGAUCUAUGGUGGGACCAAGCAUAACAAGAGGGAUAACCAAAGAAAUUUCAACUGUUUCAUGGGAUGAUAUAGGAGGCUUGAAAGAUCUAAAGGUUAGGCAUUUCUUGUUUUGUCUCCCUUCUGGCAAAAAAAAACUGUUUUGAUGGUGGUUGUUCCUGUGCUUCAGAAAGAGCUUCAGAAAGCUGUUGAGUGGCCCAUCAAGCAUGCUGAUGCAUUUUCUAGACUUGGAAUACCACCAGUCCGGGGGGUGCUUUUGCAUGGUCCGCCAGGGUGCUCAAAGACUACCCUUGCCAAGGCUGCAGCGCAUGCUUCCCGAGCUUCUUUCUUUUCUUUGAGGUUCAUCAGUAAACAAUGUUAUAUGUUGAGAAAAUAACAGCUUACUUCCGUUGUGCGAAGAACAUAGAACUUCUAUUCCACAGUAUUUAAAACAUAUUUGCAUAAUUUACUGAUCUGCCAGUUGAGUUAAUAUGAUAAUAUCUGGUAUCCAUUACUCAGCAAAAGCUUAAAAUAUAUAAAAUAAUAAACUAAAACACCUUCAGAUAAAGAUACUCUGCUCAACACUGGGUAGGUUUUCACAUAAAUUCUUAUAACAGUGGUGCAGAUUUAUAUUCCAAGUAUGUUGGAGAAGGUGAAGCUCUGUUACGUAGAACAUUUCAGAAAGCACGUCUUGCUUCUCCAAGCAUUAUAUUUUUUGACGAGGCUGAUGCCAUUGCCCCCAAGAGGUAUGCACUGAUAUGUGAUGCACAAUAUAAUAAACAUGAUCUGAUAUAACUGUCAAUCUGUCAUAACUGGCAAGAAUGGAUAGGAAUUUACUAUCCAUUCUUUUACUGUUAAAAUGGAAAAAGAAAUUGUAUUUAACAUGGUACACAUAAUGUGGAGAAUUGAACAGUGUGUGCAAGCAAAUUCUUGUUGAAAACGGUAACUUGAGUGUUCUUUUUAUGACAGUAGAAUCAGUUUAUAUUGAGUUCAGUUUUGCACUUGUAAAUCUUUACUUUUAGCUUCAGAUUACCAUGAGUGGAUUUUACUACAAAUAGUUUAUGUUGGCACCUGUAUGAUCUUGCAGAACUGGCUCUGGUGGGAAUUCUAGUGGCAAUGCCACUGUUGGAGAAAGACUUUUGUCAACUUUAUUGACCGAAAUGGAUGGUUUAGAACUGGCUACGGUACUGUUAGCCUGCUGAUAGCUUUCUGUGUGAUUCUACUGAUUAUUCUAUAUGUAUGUUCACUAGAAGGUCAUUCUUUUCUUUUUAGGGAAUUCUCGUAUUGGGUGCUACAAAUCGCCCAAAUGCAAUUGAUGCUGCUCUUCUGCGCCCAGGACGUUUUGAUAAGGUCUUUCAAUGCUCCUGUCAUUGAGAUGUGGACAUAUAGGCACUGACCAUAAUUUCCAAUUGAUUUGCAGGUGCUGUAUGUCCCGCCACCAGAUGUGGAAGGGCGAUAUGAGAUACUACGCAUCCAUACACAGAAAAUGAAAUUGGGAGAGGAUGUAGAUCUAUGGAAGAUUGCAGAGUGUACUGAGUUGUUCACCGGUGCUGAUCUUGAAGGCCUUUGCCGGGAAGCUGGAAUGGCAGCUCUGAGGGAAGAUAUCUCAGCAAGUUCGAUAUGUAAUACCCACUUCCAAGCCGCACGAAGUUCAUUGAACCCCUCUCUUACAAAAGCAUUAGUUGACGAGUACUCAAAGGCAGCUAUAAAUGAUCCAUCAAGUAGGAAACAUUAAGAUAUUCUCUCUUUUUCUUUGUUGCACAAGAAUAGCUAGAAUGCUUAUCUUGAGCAGCAGGGAGACAUUAAGCAGUUUUCCCUAUUGUACAAGACUGCUAGAUCCUUAGCAUCGGCAAGGAAUGCAAAUAUGCAAUUGUGGUUUCAAUGAAAAAUUCCAGGAGUUCCUUUUCUUUUCCUCAGAAACAGUCUGUAUCAGCUAUAAAUGAUACAUGGUUCAUUUAUUGAUGUAUUAUAUCAUUUUGCUGCUGCAAUCUGUCAUUUUGUGGCGCAAACAUCCAUCUUGUACAUGCACCCUCUUAGUUCUAUGCUGUGCAGCAGCAUUGCUGCGACGGAGCAGGUGAGAUCAUGAAAAGUUAUUAAUGAAGAUCACAAGGCAGCUAUUAUUACUUAAAGAGGAAAACUACAUUGCUACAAAGACAUCGCCAACCUCUAGUAUACCUGAAUACAAGUAGAUCUAAUUGCUUAUAUCAUUUAUCCAAUGCUCCAACAACAAGCAGAGUAUUUUACACGGGGAAGAGGAGUUUCAGAGAGGGUCUUCUUAGAGUACAUCUGUUACACAGGUCCGUCUUUAUAGACUAAGAAUGAGCUGGUCUUGCAGUAACGGCAUGCUAGCCCCUUGCCAGAGGAGGUCGGGGGAGUGAAAGCAAACUGUGAAAUCCCCAAAGUCCUGCCUUCGCAGAAGGUUUUCCUGCUUGAGAUGAAUGGAAGUGUCAAUAUAAAGAGAGGAGCUCAGUCUAUGGAAAUUGCUUGCCAAAAAGGCACAAAAAAAAUAAAUUACAGUGUCAUCAGUUACGAAUAGCUUAACAAUACAUUAUAUACAAUUUGAUUAAAAAAAACUUAAUAUCUUGUUGCUAGGCAGAAUACUGCACGCUUGAAAAUGAUCUGAGUUGUUGAUGCGAGGGGUAUGGCAAACAUUAAAGAAGUGUUGACUUGUAAAUUGAUGAAAUUUAUGGAACAAAUACAGCAUGUGAAACAAAAAAUCAUCUUACCUUGCAACAUCCAUUAGUUUUGAGGCAAUUCGUUUUCUUCUGCGUGAUGGUACCACCCAGAUGGCUCGAAAUCCACAAAGUGCAGGAACAGCUUCUGUUUCACAAAUUAUGGCACCAGGGUCCUGGCACUCUUCUUUGUUCUUGAUUGAAUGAUUGUGACGCCUUAUGAUUUCCCUCUUGAAACUAAUUUCGCCAAACUCUAAUGUAUGACCAUUUUUUCCUGGCUCAUUACUAUUAACUGGCAAACUGCUAUGGCUUUCUUCCGUGGAUCUUGGGAUGACUCUAUGUGCUGCUUUUAUUGGUUCAGUGACAAGGCACCCCACGAUCCUUUGUCCAGAUAUGUAUAGAUACACCUAUACAAUAAAGAUUAUUCUUGUUUAUUACCAUGCAAGACAAAUGUACUUCAUAGAUUGCUACAUACUAUUGAACUAAGAUUAUGCAAUUACUACCUUGCAAAGCUUAUGCAGAAGUUUCCCUUCACCAAAUCCCAGCUCCUUCUCCACCACUGUGAUCACCUCUCUGACCUGCAAUAUUUGUUUGACAUCACAUAACUGAUAACUUGCAUAGACACCACUUGCAUUCAUAUUUGAGAGGAUGGCAACAUUUACAAGCAGUUAGCAAAAACACAAACAUAUAACAGUUAAAGAAUACUGCUUUACAGUCUGCAUUUGUUCAGAAGUCAGGGCACUAAAAUUUUAAUUUUAGCAUAAGGAAUUGAGUUGGGCAGAGUUGUACCUUACUUUUCCACACACAAGAGUUCUCAUCAGUUGCAAGAAUAACGCGAUCACCACCCUCGGACCUCGCCAUCACUGUCUCAUUUUUCCAGCCCUGCAACUCAUCGGUUUAACUAAACGCUCCACACAGAAAAACUAAGAGCACAACGCAUAGAACGCCUAGACCUUGAAAGGGACCCCCUCUGAGUAGUUCUUGUGGUAGGCCCUGUGAACCUUCUCGUCCUCGUCGUUCCCUCGGGCGUACAUCAUGCCGCAGACGGAGCACGUGUGGUGUAGGAAAUCAGGCUGCCCCAGCUCCAGAUGGAACUGCGCGUAGUUCCUCUUCUUGCUGACGAGCUCGUCGCGCCUGCAGCCCUUGGCCUUCCGUUUCGCCUCCGUCGCCGCGAUGUCGCUUCCAUGCCCGUUCCCCUCACCGUCGCCACUGCGCCAAUCCGCACAAAUGAGAAGGAAAUCACAAACUGCUUCAUCCCCACAAGAACAGAUGCUAACGAAUCCGCUUCUUGUGUUCUUUCAUCAGGCGCCACAGCAAUUGAGCAAAAAAGAUUCAAAGCCGGCGAGAUUUGUGUUCUUUCAUCAGUACGAAGAGGGGUAAGGAGAAGAACCUGUUCGGAUCUGGGUCCGCUUCCUGCCGCUUGAAGAACGCGCUGAUCUUGGGCUGCAUCGCCUCGCUUCGCCUUCCCACGUGUUCUCCUCUUCCUUCUCCCGUUUGCCGUUGCUGCCGGCGUGGGGAAAUGCGCAAGAGGCGACGACAGUCAGAAGGAGGCGGCGCUUCGGAUUUGUUUGGGGGACGAAGCGGGGAUCGACGGUGCAGACGUUGUAGUGAGGUUGAGGGCGGGGCGGAUCGGACGGGCAGGAAUUGCGAAGGCCGUCGCGCGGGUUCCUCAAAAGUAGAGGCGAGAUUCGGCGCCAAAACUACCGCCCAAACUCUCGAGUCUCACUGAGGAAGUGAGGAGUAAAAAGAAAACAGAAAAAAAAAAUUGUUUUUUACGUAGCACUUCCCAUUACCGAGUACUAGGUGUCUAGGUCUACGUGCAACGCUUUGUUUGGUUGUUGAAAAUUUUUGGUUUUAACUAAUGUAGCAUUUUUGUUUGUAUCUGAUAAUUAUUAUUCAAUUAUAAAUUAAUUAGAUUCAAAAGAUUCAUCUCACAAAUUACAGUUGCAAUUAGUUAUUUUUUAUAUUUAAUACUUCAUAUAUGCGUCUAGAGAUUCGAUAUGAUGGAAAAUUUUGAAGAAACUAAACAAUGCUAAAAUCAAAUGGUGUUUGUAGCAAUAGGCCUUGUUCACUUGGGCCUUGUUUAGUUCCCAAAAAAAUUUGCAAAAUUUUUCAGAUUCUCCGUCACAUCAAAUCUUUAAACGCAUUUAUAAAGUAUUAAAUAUCGACGAAAAUUAAAACUAAUUGCACAGUUUGGUCGGAAUUGACGAGACGAAUCUUUUAAGUCUAGUUAGUAUAUGAUUGGAUAAUAUUUGUCAAAUACAAACGAAAGUGGUACUAUUCAUAUUUUGCAAAAUUUUUGGAAACUAAACAAGGCCUUGGUAAGUUUUUUUGUUUUGGGUACUGUAGCAGUUUUGUUUGUAUUUGAUAAUUAUUGAUCAAUCAUAGAUUAACUAGGCUCAAAAGAUUCGUCUCGCAAAUUACAUGUAAACUAUAUAAUUAUUUAUUUUUUGCCUAUAUUUAAUGUUUUAUGCAUGUGUCGUAAGAUUCAAUGCGACGAGGAAUCUAUAAAUUUUUUAAAAACUAAACAAGGCCUCAAUGGUUCAAUUUGUUUAGAUCUAAUUUUUUUUAAAAUUUUAACACCGUAGCACUUUCGUUUGUAUUUGACAAACAUUGUCUAAUCAUAGACUAACUAGGCUUAAAAGAUUCGUCUCGCGAUUAAUAGGUAAACUGUGCAAUUAGUUAUUUUUAUCUAUAUUUAAUGCUUCAUACAUGUACCACAAGAUCCCAUUUUAAUUGCAUAUCAAGUGCAUCUGAAAGAUUCUUCGUCACAUCGAAUAUUGUGUCACAUGCAUGGAGCAUUAAAUAUAGAUAAAAGAAAUAACUAAUUACACAGUUUACCUGUAAUUUACGAGACGAAUCUUUUGAGCUUAGUUAGUCUAUAAUUAGACAAUAUUUGUCAAAUAUAAAUAAAAGUACUACAAUAUCCAUUUUAUAAAAAAUUUAGAACUAAACAAGGCCUUGUGGGUAAAUGUCAAUUCCUGAACGCGCCCCCCGUGUUCCUCGUAUCCGCGGGUUCUUGUAUCUGCCGUCCUAGGCCGUGUUUAGUUGGUGAAGAAAAAAAUUCGCCACAUUAUAGCAUUUUUAUUGGUUUAUGGUAAUUAUUGUCUAAUAAUAUACUAAUUAGACUCAAAAGAUUCGUCUCGUAAAUUUUGACUAAACUGUGUAAUUAGUUUUUAUUUUUAUCUAUAUUUAAUGUAUACGUCUAAAGAUUUGAUGUAAUGGAAAAUCUUGAAAAAUUUUGGGUUUUAGAGUGAAAGUAAACAAGGCCUAAAAAUUCCCACUUCGAUGCCGUCCUUAACCCUCACAGUGGGCCGAGAUCCAAACCAAACCCACACCAAUCCAAAACAUGUAUAUGUGAAAGUUAAAUCUAAACCAAAUUAGACCAUGACUUCAAUCAUCCACACCAAACCAUACCACUUAUGCGCUCGACCAAUUGAAAUACAUUUUCAACCCGCCAUUUCACCGGCACCUUAUGCUAUUGUUUAUAUUUAGCCAUAAACAAAAGCAAAAAAAUAAAUAGAUAGAAUAAAAAAUCAUUGUAAACUCUAUUAUUCACAGCCAAACCAGAUCAACCCACUUUAAUAGGGCACAAACCAAACUAGCCCAACAGCCUUCUCAGCCUAUUUCAAUUCAAACCAUACAGUCCAAAAGUAAAACAAAACCAAAAAAUCGGGUUUAGCACAAACCAUUGUCAGGUUGAGCCGUCCUAAAAAUUAACCGGGGCCUUGUUUAGUUGCUCACAAAUUUUACAAAAAUUUUUAGAUUCUUCAUCAUAUCGAAUUUUACGGCACAUGUAUGGAACAUUAAAUAUAAAUUAAAAAAUAACUAAUUACAUAAUUUGUAUAAUUUACUAGACGAAUCUUUUGAGACUAGUUAGUCCGUAAUUAAACAAUAUUUGUUAAAUAUAAAUAAAAGUGUUAUAGUGUCUAUUUUGUAAAAAAAUUAUAACUACUUGUUUAGUUCCCAAAAAAUUUUGCAAAAUUUUUUAAUUCUCCGUCGCAUCGAAUCUUUAGACGUAUACAUGAAGUAUUAAAUAUAGACGAAAAAAAACUAAUUACACAGUUUGGUCGGAAUUGACGAGACGAAUCUUUUAAGCCUAGUUAGUCCAUGAUUGGAUAAUAUUUGUCAAAUAUAAAUGAAUUUAGUACUCCCUCCGUUCUAAAUUAUAAGUCAUUCCAAGAAUCUUGGAGAGUUAAAGCAUUUUUAAGUUUGACCAAAAAUAUAGAGAGAAAUAUAAAGAUUUAUGUCAUAAAAUAGGUACAUUAUGAAAAUAUAACUAACAAAGAAUCUAAUGAUACUUGGUUGGUACAAAAAAUGUUAUUAUUUUGCUAUAUAAAUUUGGUCAAACUUGAAAAACUUUGACUCUCCAGGAUUCUUGGAAUGAUUUAUAAUUUGGAACGGAGGGAGUAUUAUUUAUAUUUUGCAAAAUAUUUUGGAAGUAAAAGAGGCCUAAAACAAGGCCCGUGUUUCCCUAUGAAAUGGCCAGUUGGGCCUUGUUUAGUUUCCAAAAAUUUUUAAAAUUUUCCGUCACAUCAAAUCUGGCGGCACAUGCUGCAUGGUAUUUUAAACCUAUUUACUCUAUGAUUGAACAAUGUUUGUUAAAUAAAAACGAAAGCGCUACGGUGUCAAAUCCAAAAAAUUUUUUGCGAACUGAACAACACCUUCGCCUUUUGCUAUAGUGAAGAAGUCAACUCUGAGCUCGGAUUUGCGUGGAGUAGCACUUCGCCUUUUGCGCAGUUGUGCCUGUAACAAUUUUUCGCAUCUCACUUCUCACCAAACGGUUGCGCUCGCAGGCUCGCAGAUUCCAGCGGCUUCUCUCUAGAUCCGCAAGUAAAACCUGAGAAGGAAUCGCUCCUGACAAGGUGCUCAAAUGGAGCACCGGGAGGACGGCCCCCUCCAACUCCAAGAAACAGCCGCCGAUGACCGUGGCAAAUGCUGUGUCGCGUCCCCCUGCGGGUGGCUGGGGCGGCUGUCCCGCGAGCUGCACUGGAGCUUCGUGCUCGCGGUCGUCGCCGUCUACGGCGCCUGCCAGGGCGUCGGCAACGCCAUCGGCGGAGUCGCCGCGGCGUACUACUGGAAGGACGUGCAGCGCGUGCAGCCUUCGGCGGCCCAGUUCUACCAGGGCGUCACGGACGCGCCGUGGAUCGUCAAACCCAUCUGGGGCCUGCUCACCGAUGUCGUCCCCGUGGUCGGGUUCCGCCGCCGCCCAUACUUCGUUCUCGCAGGUCAAAGAUCCGAUCUUUCUUGGUUCUACCGGAUAGCUAGAUAAAGCCAGCGCGGCAUAUCUCUCUGUCUUGCAAUAAUGCAGGCGUGAUUGGCGUGUCAUCUAUGCUCAUGCUUUCCCUAAACCACGAGCUGGGGAUCGUUCCGGCAUUGCUGAUGCUGAUAGCGCAGAGUGCGGGUGCCGCAAUAGCCGACGUGACGGUGGACGCUCUGGUUGCUCAGAAUAGCAUCACGCACCCGCCCCUUGCUGCUGAUAUGCAAAGCUUGUGUGGGUUUAGCUCCUCUGUUGGGGCGUUGCUUGGAUUCUCCUUAAGUGGCUUGCUUGUGCACUCGAUGGGCUCCCAGGUAUGACAUUUCUGGUUGAUGAGUGGAUUCUGGUUUCUUAUACAAUCCAGACUAUGCAAUGUGAUAACUACUUUACUAUGAAUGUCCUUCUGAAUCAUAUUUAAUUUGUUGACUACUUAACUAUAAUUGUCCUGAUGGUGUGACAUAUAUAUUUUGUCCAUGUUAUUCAGGGGGCUCUUGGUCUGUUGAGUAUCCCAUCUGCACUGGUGUUAUUAGCUGGCAUUCUGCUGAAGGAGAACCGUGGUACAGAAUUUGAUUACAUGCAGGUCACAUAAGGAACCAACAUGCAACAUUUCUGUUUUUUGAAUUGUUGAAUUCACCCAUGGACAGUAAUGUAACUCAUGGUUGAUCUGAAUUCAGGUUCACAAGAAGUUCUACAAAGCAAUACAAUCCAUGGGAAGAACACUGAAGUGCCCCGAGGUCUGGAGACCAUGUGUAUAUAUUUUUGUUUCUCUCAAUUUAAGCCUGGAUAUUCAAGGAGGAAUGUUCUAUUGGUACACGGAUGCUGUUGUUGGACCAGGAUUUUCUGAGGUACACAAACUUACUAGAUAUCAUUAUUUCAUCAAAUAGAUUAAAAGCCUGAAAUUACAAGCCCUUAUUAAUUGAUAAAUCUCGAUGGGGAGGUUUCAUUUCAGCCAAAUCAUUUUUGUCCAUAUGUUAAUUAUCCAAAGCUGUUCUGAUUAUCUAGUAAAAUGAUCAGGCAGUAAAAUGGCCAGUUGUGCAAGUUACAUUUUGUAAUUUCUCUAUGUAAAUGAAAAAUAGUUAUGGUAUCAUCUGCUUAUGGCCAGACCAAUAUAUGUUCAGUUCUGAUGACCAUGCUUGAAAAAAAGGGCUUCCAAAUUUACUGAAAUAUAUUUUACUCAUCACUUGUGGAACAUUUGCUAUAUAUUUGACAAAAAGGGCUUACAAAAAGGGCUAUACUUUUCCAUUAUUUGCUAUAUAUAUAAUCUUGAAAAUUCAUCAUUACAUUUUAUCAGUUAUGCUUUGUUGCCAAAUGGACUUAUCACUUGUGGAACAUUUGCAUUGGUACAGGGAUAUAUUGGUCUCAUCUAUUCAAUUGGUUCAGUUGGUUCACUAAUUGGAGUUUUACUAUACCAAAGCGCACUAAAGGACUAUCCUUUUCGGAGCAUGCUAUUAUGGGGUCAAGUGCUCUCAAGUCUAGCAGGAAUGCUUGAUCUGGUGUUAGUGACCCGGCUAAACCUGAAAAUUGGCAUGCCGGAUUACUUCUUUGCAGUGGCUGAUAACGCAGUUUCCCAAAUGGUUGGUAGGCUCCAAUGGCUACCACUACUUGUGCUUUGCUCCAAGCUUUGUCCUCCCGGCACUGAAGGAACAUUUUAUGCAUUACUCAUGUCUCUACAAAAUGCCGGGUUGCUGAUGUCUGCUUGGUGGGGUGGCCUGCUGCUGCACAUGCUGAACGUGACCCGAAUGGAGUUCAGUAACCUCUGGAUCAUCGUCUUGAUUAGAAACACAUCAAGGCUUGUCCCUUUAAUGCUACUGUUUCUUGUGCCUGAUUGUGAUCAGAACUCAACACUCCUGCCUGCAGAGAUGCUUCAUGGCAAUGAAUCAACAGAAACCACAAAAAAUGGAUCAAAUCAGUUUUCUAUUCUUGUUGGGGACAAUUCUGGCUGCAUUUCUCCUGGUGUGGCAGUUGAUAACGAGCAAAUCAAAAUGAUAGAUGCUGAAACUGAUGAUGUCGAAUUGAUCCCAUUGGUUAACAAGAGCGGGCUGACCGUCUCAUGAUGCGUUGAAUCCAGGAUCCUUAUGCUGAUUCUACUACUGGUUCUUUCCAGCCUGUUGUUGAAGACGGGAAGACUUUUUUUACUGUGACAUGAAAGACAAAGGGAACUGAAGCAUUGGAUAAUGAAGGCAGAUGAGAUACUGUUACAGGGGUAUAGUUUCAAAAAAGAUACUGUUACAGGGGUGAGGGCACCAGUCAUUUGCUGGAGUUGAUCGAGCUCAACCGUACUUUCAUGGUACAUGCUGUAGUUGUUAAUUUAGUUCAAUUCCUUCUGUCACCCUAGAUGAGCAACUGACUGACCACAAUGUUUCUUGUUAUAGAAAGUCCAUUCUUUACUCAAUUUUUUUUUAAAAAAAGGAGAAAACAUCUGGCUUUUAGAAAGCAAUAGAAUACACGGUUUUACAAAAGAAAACGCUGGGGACUCCAGCUACCCAGGCAAACCAGACAGCCUUGUUUAGCAAAACACUUAGAACAUCUGCUGCUAUAUUGAAUAGUAGAGUUGAAAGAGGGUCUCCCUGUCUCAACCCUUGGAAACUUUUAAAGAAUUCACUCCUGUCAUUUACAUUUACGCAAACUCUAGCCCAUUGCACAUAUUACUCAGUUUCAAGCACAAGUCCUUUGGCCCCCAAUGUAAACAAACCGGAAUUACAGUAAUGCGUUUCACAGAAUCAGUCUAACUCUUGGCUUUGCAAUCUGAGCUUGAAUGUCUGUUUUGUUGAUGACAUGUCCGACUGCUUGAACCGUGUAGACGCCAGCAGAGUAGUAACAUUCGGCAGUCGAGUGCCGAAGCCAAAUGGCCUAUGCCCACCCACGCGGGGCGGAAGCGCUCAACAGUCAACAGCGCCCGUUCCGUUCCGCGGACUCGUGCGCUGCUCUACCGAGGCCAAUCAGCUGCUCGAUUUGCUUCUCCCUCGGUGAACAGUGAACUUGAUCCCUGUUUGGAUUUGCUUCUGUAGUUCUGUGAACGUGAAAAUUCUAGAUUCGAAAAAAUAUAUAAAAUUUUCUAGAAUCAAAUGGCAGACCAUCCCAACCCACUUAGUACCUCUAACCUCAGUCAUGAUGCCCCGUUCGUCAGAAAUCCGAAAAAAUAAUAGAGAGAUGACAAACAUGAAAGCUGCACUGUUCAUUUGUUCAACCAUUCAUCUUCAGAAGCCGCAACAUCACCACAUGUUUUACAUCAACACACGGGACAGAGGUCUUGUACACACACCAGGGACGUUUCAAACCAAGCCUGAGACGGUAACCAGGCGCCUUGGUUGCCCAAAACCAACGGUGAUGAUGCUCUACUGUUGCGCCAGCCGCUUCAGGUGCUGAAAGAGCUUCUGUUUUAUCCACUGACGGUCAUAUGGCAGGAAAGCGUGAAGUGAAUCUUCGUACCUGCAAGGAAAGCAUAGCGUGUAAAUUCAAGAACGUCAUAUGAAUAUGAUUAGUUGUCCCACCUUCCUGAUUAAAAGCUUUGACAGUCGAGAAACAUGCACUCACACCAGUGCACUUAUGUCAGUCAGGCCAUCGAUGAAGUUGUACAGGUCACUGAUAUCAUAAGUCAAAUUCCCGACCAUCGGGUUGAUAUUCCUGAUUUUCCUUUCAUAAAGACCACAGAUUCCUUUCAUUCCAGAUAACAACAUGGUAAGAAAAACAACAUGUGCUGAUAACAAAUAACUCAAAUAUUAGCCACAUAACUGCUGAAUAACAAUAUGGUCAUAUGAACAAUAUGGCAAAGUUAACAAUUCUCAUAUCAUGACAAAUAUGAUAUAGUUGACUACUGCAUGCUGUAUCGGUGUCAUAUGGUCAGUUGAAUCUGUGAAUCCACAUAUCUUUCAUUGAAAUUGAAGUGACUUGCAUAUUCUUCAAAGAGAAGUCAAUAAAAUUGUUGAACCCAAGCAUUAGCAUUAUGUACAAACAGUAAACAUUAGAUAUUGGUGUUUUGCUUGGUGGACUGAAAAGUUGCCUGGUACAGGCAACGCACCCAGACCAGGUAUGCAAGCAAACAGCCCAUAGCACACAAUGUCCUUUUUCACAGACAAUUGCCAGAUCAUCAGUUAUAUGCAGAACACCAACUUAAGAACCAGUAAAAAUAGAAGAUAGCAAUCUCAACUUCCAAGCCAUACCAUGACACCGAUACAGCAGCAAAUAGACCAUAGCUCAUCACAAAGGUUUAGUAGAUAAACCAUAUACACCAUUAGUACUGACUAGUGUGCGUUUGGUAGAGUUCUAGAUUCUUAUAAAAACGUUUUGAAUCCAGAUUAUCUUCAGAAACGUUUCUAUAGUGAUUCAGAAUCACCUUGAGGGACUAUUUGACACGUAGGCUAGAUUUUGAUUCUUGAAAGAGAGGGUCUUAUGAGAAAUGGCUAGCAUACCACUUGUAUUGAUAUAUGUUUCACGCGGCUGAUGGGCAUGGACUCAUCAGCUUCUUCUUGUUUUUCAUAACUGGACAUAGGCAUUAUCUUUUCUUUUUUGGCCCAAGUCGUACCUUCUUGUCUUCUUCAUCCUCACACACACAUCUGGUAUCUCCCAUGCACCAUGGCUGAGAGCUGCUAUAGCUCCCAUGGGUACAGGAGCUAUAAUACCUAGAUUAGAAUCGAGCAAAGUCGAGCGUCCAUUGCCUCCUCCCUCGCUCCCCUCAAUCAAAACACAAAACCCUCGCACUCACCCUCCAAACCGUGCUGCACUCACCAAUCUGUGUGUUUAUCCUGUAACUCUGAAACUCCCUUUCCUUUAAUGAAAUACGCACUAUUGCACGUUUGCGAAACAAAACACAAAACCCUCAAUGAAAACAAGCAAUUUCAGGUGCUUAGGGACAGUGGGAGGAGAUGGAUCCUGUGGUGAUGCAAGUGGCAAAUACAGGUAAAUUCAAAAGGGGAGGUAGGAACGCAGGUAGUGAUUCUCCAGCAAAACUGGGUUUUGGGUAUUUCUCGUUUGUAGGCAAAACGAGUAAAUCGUCUGCAGCCGUUCCACACUCGAAACAAAUUGUUUCGACGUGCCAAACAGGGCCUAAAAGUAGCAGUGUCAUUUACACAGCUAAAUGAAGGAAAGAACUUGCAACCUUCCUCGAAAUCAGUAAAGGCGUGAAGCAGAUGCUUUAAAGCACAGAAAAUAAUUGAGUGGUGUUACUAUGGCAAACGAACUGCGGUGAAGAAAGGUUAACAUUUAUGCGAUAACCUCAUAAUUAUUUACAGUCAUAUGGAGAAAACAAAGUAAUGAUAAAAGCUAGAAUUGCAUUAGCAUUUUAGGCAAGGAUAUGAGAAGAGAAGGAAAAAACGAAGUUACAUACCAUCCAGCGCAUGGUUAACUGAAUCGUAGUCCAUAAAUGUCCUCGUCGAUCUGUUCUGCGAUGGUUGCAUGAGAAUGAUGGUAUGCCUUCCAGCCUGCAAGUGCGUUAGAAAUGCAUUGGAGCCUGAAAUAUUCUCAGUCACCGAGUAGACAUUGCUGACAGGGCAGAGGACACUACGAACAGGAUGCAGUUUGCAGAUGCUGAAAAGGGGUUCAAAGCUACAGAGACUGACAAUUUUUGACAAUAUAAAGUAUUCGAAGAGGUAACCAUAUCAUCCUGGCAUUGGUUAAAAGCUAUUGAGCGCUAAACAACAUUUGUCAUUUUUUUCUCACUUAUCACAGGCUCUGCGGUGCAGCCAGCACCUACUGACAUCCUCAACUGAAUAACUAAAUACGGGAAGUUCUGUUCGCCACAGGACCACCCAGCUCCAACGUCAACGGGGCAAAACAUCAGAAAGCAAAAUCCCCAUGCAGAGCAAACUGCAUUCGGCAUCUAACAACAGCACUGGUGAUAAAACCGAGCACCACGACCGCCACAAGCACAAGGCCUGUUUGGUGUCGGCGGCGCUUCCUGCGAAAACCUCACUGACAACGGAAGCAACGGCUGGAGCAGUGACAGGUAACAAGAAAAAACAGUAUGGUCGCCUCCGCCACUGCAGGAGCUGACAGUUGGAAUUUAGCAGGGUUAGAUCGUCAUACCAUGCCUGCGGCCUGCCCUCUGCGCGGAAGCUCAGCAGGAGAUUGGGGAUCCCGUCCCGCCGCGAUCCCCGCAGAGUCCACCGUCCAACGACCGAACCCUAAGGGCACAAAUUUGCAAUCAGUCCGAUGCAAUCCAAGCACUGAUGAAUCACAGAACUACUGGGGCAAUGGUUCGCUUACUCAAAGAAAUGGGGAAAGUGCGGCAGGAACGACGAUAAAGGCUUCAGCGUACUGAGAAAUAAACACACGAACGCCACUGGGGAGUCACUGAUGAUACCCCCACAACAGACGAAUGCCAAAUAGGAUGGAGAGGAAGCCCACUGGGGUUGGGUGCAAAUGGGGUCUGCUCUCGGCGGGGCUGCGUACGAGCCACGCAGGAAGAGCAACGGUUAACAAAUGAUUAAGCUGGCACCUUCAAACUUAACUGAGGCCUUGUGUCAAAAGAUUCAUCCCGUAAUUUACAGAUAAACUGUGUAAUUAGUUUUUAUUUUUAUCUAUAUUUAAUGCUUAAUACAUGUGUCGUAAGAUUCUGAAUCUUAGUUUCUGGGUUAACAAAUGAUUAAGCUGGCACCUUCAAACUUAACUGAGGCCUUGUGUCAAAAGAUUCAUCCCGUAAUUUACAGAUAAACUGUGUAAUUAGUUUUUGUUUUUAUCUAUAUUUAAUGCUUAAUACAUGUGUCGUAAGAUUCUGAAUCUUAGUUUUUGGGUGAACUAAACAAGGCCUGAACUAGCGUGAGAGAAACAAUGGCAAAGCUUCGUCUAUAACUCUCCUAGGCAGCCGAAGAACAGCGCCAGUCGACCGCCCAAGAUAUCUCAAAGCGCGGAAUACAUACUAGUCAACUAUUGCAUGAGCAGCCAAAUGUACAUACACAGCCAACAUCAAAUCUCCAGUUAAACAGCAUGGAAAACCAAAGCCCAAGAACAUCAUGGCAGCAACUGGGUAAACCAGGACCUAGGCAGAUCGAGCAAUGACUCCUAAAUAACACAAUAUAUUGUAACCGACGAAACAUUCCAAAACCAUAGUACAAUGUUACAAAAUGUGUAGUCACAGAAAAAGAACUAACAACAUUUUAGGUGGACACAAAAACAUCACAUUUAGCCUUGUUCAUCUGGGGCUCCAGCAAAUUAAGCUGGCCGCCCAAGAGCAAAAUCCAUGGCUUCUUUCUUUCCUUCCUGGUCGAAACAAUAAUAAUCAACACUCAUCUGAUCUCGCAAAAUUAUACAGCUCAAAACUGGCUGUUCCUCACAUCUUUGGUACCGAGUUCCUUGGACACCUAAACUAUAGAGAAUACAUGACGCUGGCUUCUGCAGGAUACAGCAUCUGAAAAAGUUGAUAGGCCAAAGCUGCUAGGACGAUUAUUUCAAAAGGCUGUUGCAAGCGUCUAUUACAGCAGCCUGUGAGCCUAAGAUAGCCUGACCUGAUGGGUUUGCUUCCAAGGUUUUCAUGACAGCAUUAAAAACUUGCUUGCGGUAGAAUGUAUCCUCCAUUUUCUUUAAAACCUCCUCCACAGCUUCAAAUCUCAAGGCGCCCAACAAAGUCAGGCGAGCAAUAAUUUCACCAAAUUGUGUUGGAGCUUUAGGGAGGUCAAUGCCAAUGUCAUCCAGCAGAGCACCGUAUAACAAGCAACCGGCUUCCAGAUCUUGAGUCUUGAAAAUUUUCUUUGUGUACAGAUGCUCAAGUAGCCUGAUGAGAGGAUCAACAAAAUUGGUGCCUUUAUCUAGAGCAAGAUUGACAGCUUCUUUAACAAUUUCCGGGUAGUAACCAGGACUCUGCAACUCCUCGAUACAUUGUUGUGCCUCAUCUAAAAUACGUAUGCCGAAAUACUCCUCAAGAAGAGCUAUUGUUUUCUUCUGAAGCUCAGCAGAGUUGCCCUUGGGAGCACUGGCUGGUUUAUCAGGAGCAGGGGCAACAGCUGGUGCUGCAAUUAAUGGUUUUGGUGAUGGUGUAGUUUGAGCUGGUGCUGGUCCAGGUGUAAAGCUGAGAGGACGAGAUGGUGGAACACCAGUUCCCAAAAGUGCACUCUUGCCAAUUAGUGCUGCGCCACUGCCUUGAGGAAGAAGCCUCGUGUUAAUAGAUGAUGCCUUUUGAACUGUUGACGGCCUAUUGAGCAAUGGCCCCUGGUUGCGAAUCGAGUCACCUCUUGGCAUUGAUCUAGAACGAGGAACUUCCCAGUUAUCAUUGUCCAACCCAGGCAUUCCAGGCAUCUUUCUUGAACCAGGCAUUCCAGGCAUCAUGCCUCCAGUUCCUGGGCGAUUCAUUGGAAACCCACCUCCAGGCGAAAGGGGGCCGCCUGGUGAGCUACGGCCAUUCCUAAUGACAGAUGCUGCUCCAGGUCGUAAUCCAAGGUUCUUUUCUGCCUCAGAGUGAAUUUCACUGAUUGUCUUGGCCUUAAUCUGAAAGUCACAAACAGUAUAGAUCUCAGAAUAAUUUUACAACAAACUUAAAAUGUGGCUAUGUCCUGAGACCUAUGUACGAUAUAGGAUACCAAAAAUGUUCCAAGUGUUGCAUCAAUAUCACAGAUUCAUUAUAUGCAUCCAAAAUCGAGAGUUAAGCAUUAACUUCAGUAAAAUUCAUGCUGGCACAUCAAAAUAACAGAAUGAUUCUAAGCAUGUCAUUCAGUCACAUAGUACAUGUGAGAUCAAGGCAUUGAUGCCAUUACAAAUCCGAGGAAAGUAAGGUAGUUAAAUCAUAUAUACAGUAGUCAUUUAAUUACCUCCUCACGUCGAGGCACCCAGUUAUUUGAUCGGAGUUCAAUCACAUCACGAACCAUAAACCUCAAUCGUGGUGCGAGCUGAGGAUUCAUUGUUAGCUCCUUCAUCUGGAUGAAGUAGGUAUCAUUAAUCCGCCGAGACUUUGGGUUCUCAUCAAGCUGUUUACCAAUCGUAUUGAAGAAAUGACAGAUAGCCUCAACAUCUUCCUCUUCAGGGCAUGGCUUCUUAUCAGGCCCAGACCCCAAUAGCUCCUGCAUACAAAGAAUGGAUUAGAAGAGAUCUCACCGGAUAAUAGAGGUACUGUUGUUAGUUCCUGGUAUGUACCAUAACAAUGUGAUGAACUAUCUUCUCAGGAACCAUUUUUUGCUUGAGUAGCUCACCAAUUAGGCGAAUAUUUCCAAGUGUUCUAAGUUUGACCAACCGUUCUUUGUCCCUUCUCUCCAUCUCUUGGUCAGGGCCAGUUAAUUUAGCAAUUUCAGCUCUUAAGCUACUAGCACCUUCAAAGGCUUCCUGACAAUUGUUCAAUAGCACGCGCUUGAACGUGAUCUCUUUGCCAUCUGGCUCUUCAGGAGAGAAUGUCGGGAGCUUUACAUUGAGGUCAGAACAAAGUUGAGCAUACAUCGGACAGAACGUGGGCUCAAAAACUGCCUUCUCAAAUAUGAGAGAUAUAACAUCCUGAUCAAAAGCAGCAGGGAAGAUGUCAGAAAACAAAAGGUUGUAAACAGAUGGUGGUAAAUAAAACAAACCUUCAAAAUAUCAGCAGUAGUAAUUCCAGCUUCCAUCAGUUGACCCUUGAGAAGAUCGAAUUUCUCUGGUGUAAGUUUGUUCAGUAUACUGCAUAAUUAAGAGCAAUUAAACAAAAAAAAUGGAGAAACAAGGAACUGGGUAAGUUUUAUUCUAUAAAUCUAUAAGUAAGACAAACAACACUCUUAAAUAACCGAUUAAGGCAAAAUCAUUAUAUUACCCUUUCACCGUUUUUAAGACUCUUUCUUUCUCUGAUAGAUUGCCUCUUCGGGCUGACCAGGGCACUUCAGCCUUAAUAAGAGCAGGGGUGGGGCCAACCUGGUAAAAAGAACAGGACAAUUAUGAUCUGAAGAGUAAUUACAUGAAAAACAGAUAGAUCUGCUAAAUGGCUGGCCUGCUCCACAUACAUACAAGUUUAGUGAAUGCCACAAUACAAUACAAUACAUGAGAUAAAAGGCCUAGAUACUGUAGACAAUGGCAGACCAAUGUUGUUUUCCUGUUACAAUUUAUGCUCAGCACAACUUCAUGUCAUUUGCACAACAUUCAUAACUAGAUUUAACAUAAUCACAUGGGGGUACUGAACAUUCCUAGGUCAGGCGUUUAGUUAAAUAAAUGGUUUCAACAUUAAUAUAGUGAUAGGCCAGAAGAAUGAAGUUGGUUACGAAAUUUGACGGAAAGAGUUGCAUCAAACAAACAUUGGUUGUAAAUGGGUAGCUAACCAAAUCAGUUUCAACUUGCAACCACAGAGAAAAAUAUAAACAACAGCACAGGACAAUAAUAAAAAUGCAAGGAAGAAAACAAAUAAUGGAAUAGUAAAAUGGAACAGCAAAACUAGUAGAGCUGUUCGUACUCCUUGAAGGUACCUGAGCUUUCGAAGCAAACUGGGAGCUUAACUGAUCUUGCCUGUUAGCUUGCUCUUGUUGCCUACCACUAGAGGCAUAGGCCUCUUUAGCCUCACGUAUGUUGUCCCAAGAUUUCUCUUCAUUAGCCGGAGGCGGUUGUGCUGAUCGUGCACGCCAAUCACGGUUAUCAGUCUCAGCAUACCGAUUCUGUGCUUGUGCUUGAGCUUGGGCUUGGGCUUGGGCUUGUCCUUGAAUCUGAAUAAUGCAUUUCAGUAGUUUAGCAAAACAGUACCUUGUGAACAUCUGAGAAAACUAGAAGGUAAAAAAAAAAGACUCAAGGAAAGGUAAUGAGGGGGCUCACAGCUGAAUCAUUGCGAACCCAGCUCUGAUCUUCACCAUGAAGCUCUACAUCAAUCUCUUGCUUGAUCCUUAGAAUGUCCUCAGACACAUCAACAAUCUGCCAAGAAGUGGAAGAACCAUAAUCAGUGUAUGCAAAUUUGAUAAACUGUAUACAUACCACAUGCUGCGUUGAAUGUCAGCCUCCCAAUUACAAGUCAUGAAGUCAUCUAACAUACAUAGCCACAUGAAAUAUUCCCUCGAAAAAGUGAUAACCAAGUCAGUUGCCACCCUCUUCAAAUUAGCACUAUUCAUAUUUGGGUACAAGUGUGAGCUUAUAAAUUGUGAAAUAAAAUGAAGCAACCUAAAAUGGCUACCGACAAGAGAGAUAUCCAAUCAGCUAUGAGCUUCCUGCCAUUUUGUUUAACAUCUACAUGUGCGACUUCACCCUCAUCUACUGUGAAUGCCUCUACCUCCAUCCUGAGUUCUCCUCAGUUCAGAAAAGUACACCACUCUGGAUACAGCACUGACUACAAGAUAUAAAUUUCACAAAGAAGUACAACUGUCAAAGUGUUUGCUUAACAAAAAAAAUACAAUAUGAAAGUGCUACUGACAGAAUAGUCAUUAAAACCAAAUUCUUGCAAGCAAUCUAGAAACUGCUGUAAUCAUUAUUGGCCAAAGUUGCCAUUUUACUGCACAUACACUUGACAGUAGCAUACACUUGCAAGAGGAGGUAUCAUUUUCUCAAUGCAUGUAUGCUCUUUUUUGACACUGCCCAGAUAUGCAAGAAUACUCAAAGCGAAUUUCCGCAAUCUUCAGAUAUGACAAGCUACAUUAUAGGCACUAUUCUUUAAAACCACAAAUGACAUGUCUACGAAGACAUCUGUAGCAAUCUUCAAAUCCAGAAACUGGCUUUGUAUGAAGCAUCAGAUAUUAAGUACCUCACGCAGCUCAAGAAGUUGAUCUCUUGUGUAACGAACACGCUCGCGUGGCUCAAAAUGUGACUCGCCGAUCUGCACCAAAAUAUUAGCUAUGUCAAGGUAGCACAUAUGAGUCUACAGAACCAUUUUAACUUUACACUGGCUACAGUAUGUGAUAAACUUAAGACAAUUAACCCAGACGAAGCAGGGUGCACAGUGUACAAAACAGUUGAGCCUACUAAGAAGUCCAUGUGUGAAAUAAACAGCAUAUCGAUGAAAGAAAUAUUCUUGUUAACUGCUUAGCCACAUCAUAUAGUAUCCCAAAGACCACAUACAAGGGCAAGUGAAGCCCUAAGGGCUGAAUCCCUGCGCAGGAGCACGGCAUGCAUCAGAAUCUACCAAAUCGCAUCUCAGGUAGUAUCAAUCCUUUGGUACGCAUCAGCACCUUAUAAAUAAAAUCUCAUUAAGGGGCUUCAAGACUACUAAAUCUCCCCAUAUCUGACAACGAAAUGAGACGUGGCACCAAAACGAGCUCAUCUACAAUUAAGUAGGCCCCCUGACAAGGAGAUCCGAUCGUUUCCCCCGGAUCUCCGCCUCCCGCCACGCCGCAAACCAAUCGAACCCACUACGGACAGCAAGCCAUACAUCUAGAUCGAGCCUUCCUCACCUUGGAGAUGCCGGAGGCGCCCCCGCCGUGCGGGCGGAGGAAGUCUCCGGAGCCGGAGGUGGCGAAGGCGGGGGAGAAGAGGCGGCCGGCGCGCGGGCCGCCGCCGCCGCCGCCGGGGCGCAAGCUGAUCACAGGCUGAUCCGGCUGCAUGCUUCGGGGGCAGAGAAUCCGACCAGAAAGCGAAUCGCGCGGGAGUCGAUCGAGGAAUCGGCGAGCGCGCGGGGGGAAAUCGCAGAGGAAUCGAAGGUCAGGGAGGGUGGAAGGGUUCCGUCUGCGACCUCUCUUUCGGGGAAGAGAGGGGAAGGGAAGGGAGGCGUGGGCGACGGGAGGAGGUGGGGUUUUAUCUGGUGGAGCUAGGGCUGCAGGGGCUGUAUCGUAGUUCGCUGCGGAGUGAUGAGGGCAGUUUCGUGACUGCGUGCAAGGUUUUGCCUACGAGGGCUGGCGUCCGGGGGACCCCUGUCGGCGUGCGCUAGGCCUGGCGGUGACGGGUAAUGACGGUUCUGGUCAGGUGAGGCGGGGGUAUUUGCAGCUGGGUACCCUUUUUCAGCUGGACAGUGAUGUUAUCUCGUCUCCAACAGUAGACCUUGGAACCUCACGUUAGUAAUCUUCUUUCUCACUCUACGGAGCAUGUCGUGAAAAUAUGAAUUACUCCCUGCGGCUCUGUUUAGUUCCGCCCAAAAUUCAAAAAAAUUUAAAGAUUUUUCGUCACAUCAAAUCUUACAACACAUACAUAAAACAUUAGAUAUAAAUUAAAAAAAUAAUUAAUUACACAACUACAUGUAAUUUGCGAGAUGAGUCUUUUGAGCCUAAUUAGUCCAUGGUUUGACAAUAAUUACCAAAUACAAAUGAAAGGCUAUUGUGUACAAAUCUAAAAAAAUAGAUCUAAACAAGGCCUACAUCCCAAAUUACAAGGCAUUUGUUUUUUUUUUAAAUCAAAGCAUCUCAAGUUUACAAAAUUUACAUAAUAGACAAUAACAUUUAUGAUAUCACUAAAUUUUUAUAAUAAACAAUAACAUUUAUAAUAUCAAAUAAGUACUAUUAGAUUUUCAUUAACUAUAUUUUUUCAUAUUAUACCUAUUUGAUGUUAUAAAUCUUUAUAAUUUUGGUCAAAUUUUAAAUGUUUUGACUCUCAAAGAAAAAUAAAUAACUUAUAAUUAUCUAUUUGAUACCAUAAAUCUUUGUAACUUUAUCUAUAAUUUUGAACAAACUUAAAAUGUUUUGACUCGGCAUCCACACUUCUAGACCUCAAGGAUCCACUCCACUCACAUUUGCUUGCUAGAGACUGCAUUUGUCGUGAGAUUGGAGCAAUCUAGUACAUUUGCUCUUGGAGAUGGCACAUUGUGGUACUUGUGACCUAUCUUUACUUUGGAUUUAUUGUUGCCCUAGGCGAUAGCCGCUAGCUAGACGGCUUGGAGUAGCGGUGACUCCGUGAAGCGCUUGAGAGAUUGUGAGGCGCUCCAAUCAUCGAGUAUGAGAGGCUCUUGUGCUUAUCCUCACCGAAGAUUGGCAAAAAAACUUCAUAGAAUUGUAGCUUGAGAAGCAUUUCGUGGUCGAACUGACUUAUAAACAAGUAAGGAUGAAAACGGAACGGAAAUAUCCUGAACCGAACCGAACCGCUUUCUAUAUUUGAUCCGAUCGAAUUCGUAUUUUUUUGUCCGACUUUAUCGUUUUCGCUUUCGUAUUUUAGAUGUUUCGUAUUUCAAAUAUAAAAGUAGAAAACGGUUUUGACAUUUUUCGACCGUUUUCUACUUUUCUACUUUUAAUAUGAAAUAUUUCGAAUUCAAAAUUUGGUUUAAACCGAAUUUAGUCAACUGUAGGGUCACACAGUCUAAUUACAGACUACUCACCAUGCAUCUGCGUUCUUUCUACUAGUGGCUAGUUGUGUUCAUGUUAGCUAUUAAUUGCUUAUUCUAGACUUGUAUUUAUGUGUGGGCUAUUGUAUUAAAUACCUAAGACUAAGGAGCAUGCACUUUUUAAUUAUUAUAUGCACUUGAACUUGAUCCUAUAUAUACUUUUAGUCAUGCACUUUUAUAUAUCAGUAUUUCGUAUUGAGUUUUCGUAUAUCGACCGUGUUCGACAUAAAUCCGAUCGAAUUGGUUCGUUUUCGAAAUUCUCGAUGUUUCGUAAGUUCGUGUUCGUUUUCGUGUCCGACUUUACCGUUUUCGUUUUCGUUUUCGUAUUUCAAAUGUAAAAGUAGAAAACAAUUUAGGAGUUUUUCGACCGUUUCCGACCGUUUUCAUCCUUAUAAACAAGUGCUCGCAUUAGAGCCAACUUUGAGAGAGCUUGUCGAGGAGCGACAAUCAUUCAGCACUGUCCUCGACGUGGACGUAGGUGACCGGCAGGCCACCAAACCACAUGGAUAUAUUUGAUGUCUUAUCCUUGUGGUGUUUAUCAUCUACUCCUGUGCUUUUCCUUAUGUCGAUGAGAGCCUAAUAGGGACCGGGUGGGUUGAGGCCGUCAAAGGAUAGGCCCAAUCUGAAUAGGGUAUGUCAUCUACUUAGUGGACAAGGCAUAGCCAUAUGUACUUAGAAAACAAUUUUAUUUGAUAGAAUUUUUUACAACGAACCAGGAAUCUUCAUGUAAACAUAUUGGGACUCUAUCUAUAAUAACCCCACCCUAGACUUUUUAAGGUGGGGUGGGAGCCUCUAAUCGGUAUAUCAUCAAACAUUACAACCUAUUAGAUAGCCUUAGCAUCCCUGUAAACUACGAGCAUAUAAGAUAAGAAAUCAAAUCUCCACUAGACAUAUGACACCCUUUGGCUGAACCGUUAUAAAUCUAUGUCAUGUGUGCUACCACCUGAAUUUCUAUGCACAAUUCAUUUAUCUUCAUUGCUGAAGUUCAUAUUUCCAAUAGUUAGCGCGUUUAGUGGGGCCUUUGUGGACCGAUCUAUUCUCACAUGUUUGAGAUGGGGAUUCAUCUUCAAUGACAUUGCCAUUCAUUAUCAUCUCGUAGCAACCCUCGUCAUCCGUUGUCAAUGACGCACAUCGUCAACUCGACGUCCCUCGUCGAUAGCACAUUUCUUUGACAUGUUGUCCCUCAUCGAUAGCCAGAGUUCAUCAUUAUCUCAUCAUUCCUCGUCGAUGGCACUCGUCAUCGACUCAACAUUGCUUGUCGAUAGCUUGAGCUUGUCGUCAACUCAAAGUCCCUUGUUGACAGCUUAGAGUUCAUCGUUGACUCGUUGUCCUGCAUCGAUAGCUCAAAGUUUGUCAUCAACCUGUCAUUCCUCAUUAACGCAUACAUCUUCAACUCAUCAUCCCUCAUUGUCACUCAGAGUUCAUCGUCGACUCAACAUCACUUGUCGAUAGCUCGAAUUUCAUCAUUGACUUGUCUUUCCUUGUCGAUGACAUAUAUCUCGACUUGUUGUCCCUCAUUGACAUCUCAAAGUUCGUUGUCAACUCGUUGUCUAUCAUCAACACCACUUAGUGGUUGUGUAGGGGCUUUGAUCAUUGGUUAUUGUGAGGGGCUUUGUGCUCACCUCAUGUGAGUUCUCAAAAAGUAAAUCUAGUGAAAUCAAUCUAGAUAUGGCGAGGUCCAGUGAUCUACUUACUUCUAGUGGUGCCCUUUGUCGUAGGGGCCAAGCUUGGGUGCUCGCUAGGUUAAGUGAAGUAGUGAUAUUAGGAUUCACCUCGGUAGGGGUUAAGUUGUCGGCAAGGAACCAAACCUAGGGUAAUUACUAAAUAUUGUGUCACUUGCCUUCAGUGGUUUUCAUCCUCUCCACAUUUGCAUUUACAUUUCAUAUCUUCUGCUUGUGUAGUUGCUUGGUAGAUGUAGCUCUCUAGCUUGUUGGUUGAUUGUGUAUCUUAGCCCUUAAGUGAGUAGUUUAGUUUAGUUGUUCUUGUUACUAGCUCACUACUUAUUUAGUAGUGCUUGUAGUUGUUUGUGUGUUUGUGUGUUCACUAGUUAAGUUGGCAACUAGAACUACGUUGUGGCUUGCAUUACUUUGAGUAGGCUAGACAAAAUAGUGGCUACUAGAAUAUUUUUUAUACUAAUACACUUUGCCUAGUAUCUAUAAUUGUAGAAAUUUUGUAGCUUAACCAACCUCUCUACCUAUCUAUAGAUCCUUUCAUAAUUGUACACGGGAAAAAUCCACCGGUGUAGGAAGGGUAGCGGUGAGCGAGAAUUCGCGCGGGGGAGGAGAAUGGCAAACCAGUGCAACAUGCUUUUUUCAGCGAACUAGAGGUCCAAAAUAGAUCGCUUCUUAUUUUGAAACACCAUAUAGAAAGAGUUGAGGCUUAUUUUUUCUGAAAAUUUAUAAAAUUUAGCUUCGUGUUGUAAAUAUCUCGUCUCUUGGAGUUGUUUUUGAUAAUAAUAUCAUAAAAAGUCUUCAUUGUGAAAUACUUCUCUAAAACCCCCAGUAGGAAAUAAAUGGUUCAUAAAACCUGCCCUCAUCUUGCAAUGGCCAAUGGAGAACACGUCCAGGGUUACAUGGGCCCAAGCCAACCCAACUCCGUACAAACCAUUAGUCCGAGAAAAGGCUCUCAGCAUCCACCGAGACACAGCCCACCGCAUCUUUUAGCCCGCUUCCAUUUCUUCCUCCAUGCUAACUUGAAGACGUUUUUUUUUUCAUAACAACUCAAGGCGCUUUUAAUGCACCUGAAGAACAUGCCUUGUCCCUUGUCGGCUAUCCCAAUUCUAGAUUGAUAACAGUGUGCUCGCUCGAUCCUAAAAGCAUCUCCAAUGAUCUAGUAUAGAGCAAGUUGAAUCAACUUUUUAAUCACUGGAUAGUAUAGUUUAAAGUUUUUUUUUUGAAUCCCAAAUAUAUAUUGCAAGUUUGUAGAUUUUAAAAUCAAGAAUUUAGAAAGUUUUACAAAAUUAUUGGAGGAAUUUUUUUCUUUUCCCAAAAAUAAAUUAUGAAGUCGUAUAACUUUUGGAGAUACAAUAUUCUCAAGUAAGAGCCGUUGGAGCGCUGCCGGGCUAACUGGCAAUGCUCUAUGUUGCAGGUUGAUCAAACCAAAUGAGUGUAGCGUGGUUGUUGAUCCUCGCAACUCGCAUUCUCGCAAGUACACGGCGUUUCUAGAUUAAUCCCCUGUCAAAGUAUGCUUAAAAUAUCGGGUUUUUAAAAAAGUUUGUGUUUCUUAGAAGUAACUUUCAAAAUAUAAGAACUCAUCAAACUAAUAAAUAUUGGUAAACGGUAGCAUGUGAGAACGACACAGGCCUAUAUUUUGCAUAAUUAAACACAAUAACGGGUACGCACGACGUACGGACGGAUAAAAAUCAAGAUCACAGUCACAGCGGUCCACAUUCAAAAUGUUUUAAUGUUUCUCACUUUCUCGUGGUGCUCGUGCUCAUGGACCUUCCAUUUACGUCUAUUGUUAAACCUGACUUACUUUAACAUGUUGGCUUUGGCUCUGGCUUUUCCGUGAAAGAGGAACAACUCAACUUUUUGUAAAAAAAAGUAAGCAUCGCUCUAAUCAUUUAUGGUUGUUCCUUUCCAGGAUGGAUGGCUACUGCAUAUUACCAUAUAGAAAUCAAAUGAAAACUCUACUGAAUUAGGCAAGCGAUUAGAAGAAGAGAAAUACAGGUCGUCCUAGUUGAAUACUCAAAGUCAGCUGCGAUUGCUUAAGAAUUUUUUUAGGAAGUUAAAUUUUAACUUUUACCAUAUCAAACGUUUAGACGCAUGUAUAGAGUAUUAAAUAUAAACUAUUUACAAAACUAAAAACAUAGUUAGAGAAUAAUUUAGGAGACGAAUCUUUUAAACAUAAUGUGUCAAAUAAAACGAAAAUACUACCAUACCUUUUAAACUUUAACACCUUCAGCCAAACACAUCCUUAAUGCUGGGAGUGACGGUGGCAUGCAUGCAAGGUGCUGGCGUGGACGCGGAUGCUUAGCGAGCGGUUCGGACUUCGGACCGAUGGAUUACAUCACAUCAUAGCUAGGUGGGCUUAUUUCGUGUGAAAAAAGAUAUAUACCACUUCAACUUAUUAAAUUUGUUUUUUAAGCAACCGGAGGAGUUGCCCCUUCUGGAAAAUUUUAUUAAAAAUAGAAAAGAUAGUCUAUGACUAAGCUAAUACUUUAUUGGCUUUACUAUAGAGUUACUUCAUUUCAAAUUAUAAGAUGUUUUGAUUUGUGUAUAUAUGUAACUUUUGUUAUUGCACUUAGAUAUAUAUUAUGUUAGAUACAUAGUAAAACCAAUGUAUAUAGAAAAAAGAUCUUAUAAUUUGUAAUUUGGAAUGGAGGGAUUACCAAAUAGAUGACUCAUGAAAGAUAGAUCUCAUGCAGUCAUGCUCAUGUUAUUCAAAUUCAAAUUAGAUCGAUCGAUAGAUAGAAAGGUUAAGUCUUAUUUUCACUUUUUUCUGAACUGAAACGUCCUAUUUUCACUUUUAUUCAUGCACUAAUGCUAUUUAUGCAACUUAACAUACUUACUUUGCUAAUGCUAUAGUUGUUGUAUAUUUCUUCAUUACUAAUUUAAGUAAGCCUUGCGGAGUAUAUUCUCAUACUCAUGGACAUGGUGCUGUCAUUAAGUUGUUUCACGCGAGCAAAUGCUUGCUACGACUACUUAUGCACCCUAGAGCCAUCAUUGUGCCUUGAUCUGUGUAUGUGAGGUGUGGCAUGGAUCUCUUGUUUUGUAUCUUAACAAACCCGAUGCCGCAUCUCCCUGGUUCUCCGCUGGUUGAUCCAUCACUUUUGUGGACGAAUUUCUUAGCUUGAAUUUUAUUGUUGGGUGCCAUCACAGCUAUCGGAGAUGAUGUUCUCUGCCAAGAAUUCGCCUAGCUAGGCCACACAGAGAUCCGUUGCGCCUAAACUUUGCAAACAUGCAUUAGCAUCUCGAUCUUGUCGUUGUGAGCUGAAUGAAGUACAUCAACAACGUGGCUACUGUGAGACCAUCUUUUCCGGUUCUUUUUAGGAGUUUGGGGAGAAAGAGAUUAGGGCAAAUAGCAUCUCCAAGAGUACUCAGUAAUCAUUUCCAAUCCAUAAUUAUUGGGGAAACGGAAUUUUUCCAACAACUCCCAAACUUACAUCCCAAUCUUGUGUCACUUGAGAAAAAAAAUCCUCCUUAGCGUAAAGUUACACGGACUCUAGGUCGUACAUAUCUUCUUUUCCACCUAAUUUUUUAUAAUUUGACACUUUUUUGAAGAAAAAUUACAUUUGGACCCUUGGAUGACUUAAAUCUAGAUUUGGAUCCAGGGUGUUGACGCCGUGAAGCAUGGCGUCGAGGUUACACGUCUCGACGUCGUAAUUCACGACGUCGAGCUCCCUGGCACAGCACAGCGUGGCGUCUGCGUGGCUAUUUACGUGGCAGAUAUAUCGACGUCGUAAAUCACAGCGUCGAGGUGGACGCCGUAGAUCACGGCGUCGAGUCUUGAUUUACAAAACGCCAGCCACCCUUCCCUAACCGUGGCCACAG
RNAcentral lists this long non-coding RNA (45653 nucleotides) under Sorghum bicolor (sorghum). RNAcentral describes it as "long non-coding RNA (SBIC_LNC011303)". Lineage: Eukaryota; Viridiplantae; Streptophyta; Magnoliopsida; Poales; Poaceae. The record is from RNAcentral.